AAUCUAUUAUGUUUCUAAACAGGACAACUUAUGGUAUCUAUACCUAUCUAAUAAUAAAGCGGCUAUUGCUUUCGUCGGAAAACCCAUCGCGGCAUUUUUAUAAAAAAGCCCCUGUAAUUUCUGUUAUUCAAUCCGCUUUUCAUCAUUUAUCUGCAACGCAAAAGGAAAAAAUGAUUCGCUGCAAAAAUUAUAUCCGUACGCAUCGCCUCCUCCCGUCGACCCUCGGGCACCCUGGCCUAUGCCUAGGCCGCCGCCACACCACUCGCCGCCGCGGCCGACCUCAACCGCCACCGCUGCCGUCUCAACCCACCCGCCUCUGCGGCCGUACCUCUCCCCGCUCAUUGCCCCCGUUGCGGCGCUCGAGCGCAUCGCGUCGACCCUGGUCCACCCUGGUCUGUGCCCAGGCCGCUGCCACACCACUCGCCGCCGCGACCGUCCUCAACCACCACUGUUGUUGAUCUCAACCCACCCGCCUCCGCGGCCGUACCUCUGCCCGCUUGCUGCCCCCGUUUCGGCGCUCGAGCAUAAUUUCUGGAUCAAAUCAACGCGACAGCUACAGUGACUGGGGAUAUGCGUCUGCUUGAUGCAAAACAACGGCGGCGCGCGGAUAAGGCGCGGCGGAGCGAAGUACUUGCAGGUGGGAGGCGGGCCUCCAUGGCUCACACGGGGAACUCCGAGGUUAUGGCGUGGCAACGGCGACUCCUUAUGGCCAGAUAGAGGUGCCUAACCCUUGCUCCCCUCAUUGUAUCCCCUCCUCCGACAAGAACUCAUCANNNNNNNNNNNNNNNNNNNNNNNNNNNNNNNNNNNNNNNNNNNNNNNNNNNNNNNNNNNNNNNNNNNNNNNNNNNNNNNNNNNNNNNNNNNNNNNNNNNNUUUCCCAGUGAUAGUAGGGGCAGCAAGGCACACAUCGUGUAGUUGCCAUCAAGGGUAACAAGUUGGGCUUUGUCGUAGAUAUGAGAUUGUCCAUCUACAUCAUGUCAUCUUGCUUAAGGCGUUACUCUAUUCUUUUGGACUUAAUACACUAGAUGCAUGCUGGAUAGCGGUCGACGUGUGGAGUAAUAAUAGUAGAUGCAUAAAGUAUCAGUCUACUUGUUUUGGACAUGAUGCCUAUAGAUAUAAUCAUUGCCAUAGAUGACGUCACGACUUUGCGCGGUUCUAUCAAUUGCUCGACAGUAAUUUGUUCACCCACCGUCUACUUGCUUUCAUGAGAGAAGCCACUAGUGAACACUAAGGUCCCCGGGUCUAUUCACACUUAUCGUUUCCACUUUCGCUUUUACUUUGCUUUGUUACUUUGUUGCUUUCAGUUCUCACUUGGCAAACAAUCUAUAAGGGAUUGACAACCCCUUCAUAGGGUUGGGAGCAAGCAUUUUAUGUUUGUGCAGGCACUUGUGAUACUCCUUCACUGGAUCGAUACCUCGGUUCUCAAAACUGAGGGAAAUACUUACCACCGUUGUGCUACAUCACCCUUUCCGCUUCGAGGGAAACCAACGCAAGGCUCAAAGGCCGCGGGAAAUCCUUUGCAUAUUUGCCUAGGAAGUCCCUAAAGGCGUAGCCGUAGCAGAAGGAUUCCUGGUGCCGUUGCUGAGGAGUAUCAAGACAAGAACAGUCUCCCGUCAGCACGUGUUUCUGGCACCGUUGGAAGGUCUUUUGUUGCAGUAGCAGUUCCUCAUUUCAAAUCUCUCCUCAAAAUUCCAAUUCCAAGGUACAUUAUUCAUCUGUUGUCAUCCCCAUAGUUUGAUAUGGUCCAACAUUUCCUUCAACUGUAUUCAGUGGAUUAUGGCUCCUUGGUAUGCAUGGUACAUUCCUACUCAUUGAAUCAUGUGGGUUUAUCGAUUACUACCACACUAAAAUGAGAUAUACUCAUGCCUGCAUAGACCAUAUUUUCUCAUAUCCUCGAAAAUGGUCAGCGGUCUUUGUUCAUAGAGAAACAACUCAUACAAUUUGAACAUAAGAAAUCAUGACACAAUAAAUUCCAUUGAUUCAUGAAGUUAUUACAAUCUCUGAGUCUUCCAUUACAAAAUUCAACUCCAUAAUCUCAUGAAACAAGAGUGCUUCAUGUUACACUUAUUGCCAUUGUCAAAACUUAACUACUCCAUUUUAGCUUUCUUCCCAUGUGGACAAUUACUAACAUAAUGUCAUGCUUCCUUGCAACGGAAGCAAAUGAGUUCCGACAAGUCUCGGGGUUUCUUGGUGUUUACUUUUACUCCUUGGGUUUCCUGCUUCUUUCCUGGGCACAUAUUGAUGUAGUGGCCCAAUUCCUUACACUUGAAACAUCUGAUAUGACUGAGGUCUUUAUGUGCAAGGAUUUGACUCUGGCUGGUGUACUUUCUCUUCUUUCCGGACUCCUUCAUUCUAGCCAGUUCUUCUUUUUCAAGUGGAUCAAACUCUACUUUUUCUGUCGGGAAGUCUCCCAGGUAUUUAUGGCUUUCCUUCGUGCAAUCCUGUGAAAAAUGUCCUUCUCCACAUGAGUAACAUGCAUUGGAGAAAAAUCUGGUUAGGCUCUCUCCAUCAGGAUCUUCUAUAUUUUCCUUCAUCCCCGGUUCUUCUAGAAUCUUGUCCUUGAGUGUUUCUUUCAUUGCUUCUUUCUGCUGCUUGACAACUUUUUGCACCUUGGGGUAAAUGUGACACGGAGCUGGGUACUGGGUGAUUCCUUCACACAAGAAGCAAGUCACCUGACUAGUUGGGCAUUCCUCUGCUGGGUGAUUUUAUUCACAAUGAGGGCAUCCAUCCUUGUGUUCUCCCUGGGUGUGUCCUAUUUCUCCACAUAUCUUACAUGCAUAAGGUUUCUUCAUCGGGCUAUCAUAGCACUUCUGAAUGAGAAGGGAUCUUAACAGAGUCUUCUUGAAUUCGUCCAAAGUUUCUGCUCCACUAAAUCCUUGUAUGGCAUGAUGCAUUUUCCACCAGAUAGCAACACCUUGGGUAAAGUACUGAAGAGUGUGUGCCACUUCAUAUUUCCUUGAAAUCAAAUUGCUCUCGAAGUGGUUCUCCAUGUUCCGAAUCCAUAUUUCAACUUCGAGAUGGGUCAUUGGUCCAGAGAUUACAAGUCCAGCUUCGUACGCCAUCUAUUGGUUCCAUGGUUUUUGGGAUGAGAUGGGUAAGAGAGGGAGAGAGAGAGGGAAAAUAUAUAAACAAAAGACACAAAAAUAUCUAAAAUCAAAUCCACACAUUCAUAAAGUUCAAUCAAUAAUAUAGUAUCGCCACCCACAUAAGGUUGGUCUGGUCGAUCACACAAUACGCAAUAACGUUCGUCUUUAUUUCUCUCAUGGGGGGCUACUACUACUAAGCUAGCUCAUAUCAUGUCUUCAUCAUCAGUGGGCUUCUUCUCGUCAGGCUUGAUCUUCUCAAGUUCUUCUGCCAUAUAUUCCCUGUUUUCGCGGAGUUUCCGAUGUCGUCCUUGUAGUUCCAGGAGUUGGUUCUUGAGCUUCUGGAUUUCAACAUCACCAACAUGUGCCAUAGCUUGACUAUUCUUCAAGUCUUGACGAAGCUUCUGAAUCUAGGGAUCGUGUUUCUUCACAUUGGCUACCUUCCGUUUCCCGCCCUUGAGACUCUCAUGAAGUGUGUUAUUCUCAAACAAUUCUGAGAGAAGGUCCAUCUGAAGGUUCUUGAUAUAAUGUUCCAGUUCUUGAUUAUACACCACUACAGGUGAAAACUUCACCUUCUGCUCGUCUGCCAGGAUGAUGUGUGCUCCCUCAGGCUUCUGCCAUCCAAGCCUUCCAAAGUAGUGAGUAUCCAACUUAACACGAUGACGAUAGCUCAAACGUACGAUAGCAUCAUGAACAACAGUGUUCAUGCCCAUAUCACAGUCAUGGGUCAACGUGCCAUAGUUGAUGUCUUCAGUCUUGGGGUCUUCUUUACGCCCAAAUUUUUUAGUUCUGACACCCCAAAAUCCAAACUUCCUCUUAGUCACCUUGAUCCCACGUAUCGGCAACUUCAUCAUCUGUACCAGCUCCAUGAGAAAUGGGCCUCCGAGAACAUCUUCGUUGUGCUCUCUUUCGUUCAGAGUGUAACUCUCCAUUUAUAGUUUUUGAAAUAGGGAAUGUUCAGUAAAAGAAUUAAGAGGUACGAGAGUAGUGAAAAUAAAAGUUGUUCCUAUCAAGGUCUUCCUAUUUCUAAGCCAUUUCCUAGGGUUACGUCCUACAGUCAACAUGUGCUCUCAUACCAUAUCUGUAGCGACCCGACUCAAAAAGAGUCAAGCCUCUGUGUAUCUGUGCCAUCCCUGGAUCAUUAUGCCGGCACACACAGUACAUCAAUGUAAAUAUCAAAGUGCAAUCACAUGUAAAUAACGUAAAAUUGAUAUAUAUACCUCAAAAUCUCAGCGGAAAUAGUCAAAGGGAGUGGAUUCCCAAUAAACAUCAACGACAGGUUGAGUGCAGACCGUAACCCUGAAUCAUACUCUUACUCGUCGAAGAAAGUAUCUGCAACAUAAGAUGUUUAGGUCAACAUAUUGAAUAUGCCGGCAAGUCACAAAAGAGAGGGUGAAAAUAUCAUCUAUCCUAUAUGCAUAUAUGGCAGGUGGGGCUGUAGUUUAAGUUUGCAUAAAGCAAAAUUUUCCUACAGCAAGAGAGAGGUAAAAGAAAAAUUUACUACAUUGUUGGUUGUUAAUGAGAAAGGUUCCACCAACCAUUUAUCAUACCCAAGUUAUCAAUAUUACCCACAUCAAUAAGUUAAUGGUGUUGAGAAUUCCUGAUAGCUCCAGUUCCUUUGGCUGAAGUUGUCCAUGACCGUGGACACGACUAACCGAUUAGUUUUGCGUACUCUGYAGAGUUUUGCACACGUUUCCCAUAAGAUUUGAUUGCCUUCGUUGGAGUCCUCGCACUUCAGGGUGUUUGAUAACCGGAUGAUCAAAACAUGGUCUUCCAAAGGGUUCCUCUGAGCCACUGUCGGUGCCCAUCCAAUCCUACCGUUCUUCUACAUCUCAUAGCACUGCCCGUCGAGAGUCACCACAAUGUCCGACCAAGCCAGCGCCCAUAAUGACUUGUUUAUGUGCAGGUAAGCCUCGGGUCUUGAAGUAUCCAUCCAUCUCUUCGUGCCUGGAUGAAGCUUUCUGCAAGAUGUCAUGGCGCUUCCCCAUGCAUCCCGGGUCAUCCACUGGUUUCCCCAGGGAGCCCAUCAAAACCGUGCUUCACCCAGAGGUAUAUUGCAUCAUGAGGUCUUGAGAGUCUUGAAGUCUUCAGGUCUUGAUUAUUAAGUUCUCACAACACUCAUGGUAAACACUCAACCAGACCCCGUCUACUAGGAGCAUAGCAAAUUAACAUCCCGACCAAGUACCAAGAGUUUAUGAGUGCCUAGCACAUGAUACUACAUCAAGAACCAAAAUUUCCAAGUACUUAUUUGCAUGCAAUGGGCGAAGAAGGUUGAUCUAAUGCAAUAAAACCAUAGGUAAAUUUUGAUCAAAGUGAACUUGCCUCGUAAGGUUGUGGAAGAUAGAUAUCGCUCACAGGAAAAACUAGAUAGAACUAUUCGUCACUCUCCGAUGAAAUCUAUAUAAUCAAACAUAGUUUUCAUAUAAGAAAUCAUACUAGCAAUCAUCCUAGCAAUCAAUAUCACAACAUCAAAUAGAAUUUAUCCAAUAAAUCAAAUCAAAAGAGAAUCCAAAAGAAACUUCAAAGAAAAACUGUGGAGCCUUCUACUAUAACAAUCACCAAAUAGUUUGUGUUCUAAUUAAACUUAACAGCAAAUAAAACACUAAAAUAGUAAAAUAAGGGAAAGUAAAAUAUAAAUUAACUAAGAUAACAGAAAGUAUUUUUCAUAAAAAAAUAUUAUUUUGAAAUUAUUUUCAAAUAGGAAAUCAACUAGCAACGAAAUCAAUUUGUAAGUUAUUACCGAACUAGAAUUGAAUUCAUGCUAUCAAAUAAUACUAAAAUUUUGUUGUUGUUAAAAACCUACUGUUAACUAGCAGAAAAUAAAAAUAUAACUUUUCACAAGUAUAAAAGAAAAUAAAUUUAAAACAAUUAUAGCAAAAGAAGUAGCAAAAAUCCUAAAAAGAACUAAACAUAAUCUGUUUUGCUUAAAAUUCUUAUUUAAUAUAUCCUAAAAAUUCUGAAAUUAACCCACUGACAAUUAAUAUCACUACUGAUCAGUAGCAAAAAGAAUUAACUCAAAAGCUAUUUUAAAACUCCCAAUAUUCACAAAACAAGGUUUAAACCAAAUCUGUUUAAAAUCAAAAUUUAAAUAUCCAAAGAGGGUCAAAUUUUAUAUCUACAGAAACUACAUAAGAUUUGUGAUCUAACGCAAAAAGAAUCACCUAAUUUGGAGUUAUAGACCAAUAGAUAUGAAUUUUCUAAGUUUGCUCUUUUUCGGAAAAAACUGUUACGGGAUUUUUGAAGCUCACCGGAGAUAGUCGCCGGAGUUGGAGAAGGCGACGGGAAGGUGGCUCCGGUGGUCGCACGAGGCGGCAGAGGAGUCCAGGUGGAGGAGGGGGAGCUCCGGCGAAGCUUGGUGGUGUCGGCAGGGGCUAGGGGCGACAGGAGGGAGGAGCAGAAGCUCGUGGAGCUUCGGUGGGGGCGAGCUCCGGCGAGGGUGGCGGGGCGGUGUUCCGGCGAGGGGAGUGUCGGGCUUGGGGGAAAGCGAAGAGAGGGGAGGCUCGUCUAUGUAUAGGCGGCCUCGGGAGGGUCGGGGAAGGAAAGGGCAAAUAUAUCGACUCGGGAUUCUUUGCCCUCGUGAGGAAGCUUCUGUACGCGCACGGAAGGAAGGAGGAGCUCGUGAGGAACAAGAAGAGGAUACGGAUCAGAUUUGCUAACGGGCCCAAGUCACUUUCCUAAUAAAAAUGAUUUAUUUUCUAUUAUGCAAAAAACGGAAAGGAAACUAAAUAAACAAAAAUCUAUAACACUUUUAUAUAGACAUAUUAUAUACCAAAAUUUGCAGAAAAAGAUUUUCCCACAAGAUGAACAUUUUUUCAAGGCCAAACAAAAUUCUCACAAAAUCAUAAAAUUCAAACAGUGUUGCUCGCUUAAGAAAAAUGCAAAGAAAACAUUUUGAAAAUACUAAAAUGGAUUCAAAUUAAUUUCUCUCCAUUUUUAUAUUGAAGGGAAUCAUUUUACCCUAUUUUACAGGUAUUUUAUUUUUGGAGAAAAAUAAAUUUGAAAACCACUCCAAUUUUUUUAAACAUAAUAUAAUUUUUUUUCAAAAUAGUAUUGUGAGUUUCAUAAGUUCAAAUAUAAUUUCAAAUGGCCCCUGGUUUGUAGUGUCAUAUUGCUCCUCUCAAGAUUUUGAAUUUUUGGUAAGGGGAUUUUGAAUUCAUUUAAACCUUCAAAUAGGACCAAAUAUGAAAUAGAUUGCGAAAGAAAUUAUUUUCACGGACCACCCUUUUUUCCAAGUCCUUUAUUUUGAAGAAGUCAUGUUAUCUUCUCUCAAUGAUUUGUAUUGGAUGAAAUUGUAAUUCAAAAUAAAAUGGGGAAGUCAUUUUAUUCCCUCUCAUUCAAAAGUUUUAAAAAAGUCUUGAAUUUCACUCAAGUUUCAAUCACUCCAUCAAACAAUCAAUUAAUCUAGUAGUUAUAUUAACAUUCCAAAAUUUGGGAUGUUACAAACCUACCACACUUAAAAUGAAUCUCGUCCUCGAGAUUCGAAGAGGCUAGAAAGAAAAGGUUAGGGUUUGGGGGUCUUCUAACAAAUCCAAUUUCGUGCAUGGUGGGGUGCUACCACACUUAGAAUGAGAGUUACUGGUCCCUCAAAAAUUUACAAUCCUUUGGGGUCUUGGCAUCAGACUCCUCACAUUCUUCAUACUAACACCUUUGGCGAUGCUCUUGCGUUAUAUUCAUAACGUUCCCCUGAGAAUCUGAUGUCUUUCGUGGAUAUAAGCUUCUUUUGUCACUGGGUCUUCUUAUCGGAGAAGUCUCGUGACCAUUAUAAAUAACCUAUCGAUGAUUCUCAUGGUGAUCUAAAAUUUGUGGUUAUCCUGUAGUGAGAAGGGUCUUGGCUUCAUCCUCACCGUAAAAUUUCCUACAGGUGACAACCAAUGCCAUGUACAUGGGGCUUUCAUCAUACCAUUCUAAGGCUUAAACAAAAGCUUCAAAGAACGUCGUCUCUCUCUACGGGUAAGUUUCUCAGAUUCACCAUUCCGAAUAGCAAGGGAAUGAUAAGAGUAAGUCGCCAUGGUGAUCAAUCCAUUUCGCACCCAAAUCAUUACUCUGUAUAAGGUUUAGCGAAUCUCGUAUUCUAACACUCGGGCAUCCUCACAAGCAUUACAAAAUUUCUCUCAUCCACGAACGAAGUUUGGAUAAAUCCAAUGAUUCUGCGAGCUCAAAAACAUCUACGUUUCUUCACAACUCUGGGAUUUUCGUAUGCUCCUAAGAAAACGUUUGUUGAUCCAUCAUAGCUUUUUUCCUUCAUGCUCUUGGGGCAACCUUCAUGAAAAUCUCAGGGUGCGUCCUUGGUACGGGUUGUAUUCCUUGAGUACAUUUUUCUCUUCCCUUGGUCUAUUUACCAAUAAAAGUGUUUGUUCCUGAUACGUCUCAAACGUAUCUAUAAUUUUUGAUGGUUUCAUGUUGUUAUCUUGUCAUCUUUGGAUGUUUUAUGUACCUUUUAUAUCUUUUUUGGGACUAACUUAUUAAUUCAGUGCCAAGUGUCAGUGCCAGUUUUUAUGUGUUUUUGGCUCUUUUCAGAUCUGAUUUUGGAACGGAGUCCAAAUGGAAUCAAAUCCCUGAAAUAAAUUUUUCCCGAAUGGAAGAAGAUCAGGGGGCUUGAGGGCCAAGCCAGGAGAGCUACAUGGGGCCCACAAGCCCUGUAGCCGCCACCAGGGGGCGGCGGCUAGCAGGCUUGUGGCCUCACUGGCGCCCCCUUGACCUAGCUCCUUCGCCUAUAUAUUCCCUAAAAUACAGAACAGAAUCAGGGAAUCCACGAAAACACUUUUUCGCCGCCGCAAGCUUCCGUUUCCGCGAGAUCUCAUCUGGAGACCCUUCCCGGUGUCGUGCCGGAGGGGACUUUGGAGUUGGAGGGCUUCUACAUCAACAUCAUCGCCCCUCCAAUGACUCGUGAGUAGGUCACUUCAGACCUACGGGUCCGUAUUUWGUARCUAGAUGGCUUCUUCUCUCUCUUGGAUCUUCAAUACAAAGUUCUCCAUGAUCUUCAUGGAGAUCUAUCCGAUGUAAUCUUGUUUUGCAGUGUGUUUGUCGAGAUAUGAUGAAUUGUGGAUUUAUGAUCAGAUUAUCUAUGAAUCUUAUUUGAGUUUCUUCUGAUCUCUCUUAUGCAUGAUUUCAUAUCCUUGUAAUUCUCUUCGAGUUGUGGGUUUUGUUUGGCCAACUUGAUCUAUGAUUCUUGCAAUGGGAGAGGUGCUUGGUUUUGGGUUCAUACCGUGGGUGACCUCACCCAGUGACAAAAGGGGUGGCGAGGCCCGCAUCUUGUUGUUGCCAUCAAGGGUAAAAAGAUNNNNNNNNNNNNNNNNNNNNNNNNNNNNNNNNNNNNNNNNNNNNNNNNNNNNNNNNNNNNNNNNNNNNNNNNNNNNNNNNNNNNNNNNNNNNNNNNNNNNUCUCUCUCUCUCUCUCUCUCUCUCGCGCGCGCGGCGGCGACUAAAGAUCUGUGCUGGUUUCAGGGCUUCUGCGGUGCGGCAAGAGCUGCCGGCUCCGGUGGAUCAACUACCUGCGGCCGGACAUCAAGCGCGGCAACUUCUCCGACGAGGAGGAGCAGUCAAUCAUCCAGCUGCACCAGCUGCUCGGCAACAGGUGCCCCUCCCCCCCUCCCCACCCUUUACCCCUUGUCGUCUUCCUCCUCCAUCACAUCUUCACUGUUCCGCAAAAAUGGUGGCAAUCAUUGUUGCUUUGCUUCAAUUGCAAAACAGACAGGUUUAUUCCCCUUUUCUUUUCGGGGCCGAAUUACAAUAUGUUAUCAUCACGGGUCCCACCUCCGCGCGCGCGCGCGCACACACAUAUAUAUAUAUAUUAUACUACAAAGAUAAAAAUCUCAAGUGCAUCGUAUAGUAGUGUAGGCCACCUUUGUUAUAGUAUUAUGGCUAAUUGCAUCACCGGUGAUGCGCGAGAUCUUGAAAGAUUCCGUCUUGUUUGGCCGCUCCGGCCACGGGCGCCUUCUUGAUUUCAGUGCCGGCAUUAAACUAGGGGCGGCGCUGCGGUUUCAGAUCACGUCGCGAUCGGAUUUAUUAAACGUCGCCGAAUUCAUCUUGUCAAUCUGUCAAGAACUACGCGCUGAUUGGAUUCGAUCCGUGUUGUUGUUUGCUUGCGCGCAGAUGGUCCGCGAUUGCCGCCAGGCUGCCGGGGAGGACGGACAACGAGAUCAAGAACGUGUGGCACACCCACCUCAAGAAGCGGCUCGACCCCAGCGCGCAGGAGCAGCACGAGGAGGCCGGCGUCGCCAAGAAGCGCAAGAAGCCGGCGGCGGCGGCGGCGCCGAGGAAGCGCGACGGCAAGGUCAAGAUGAGGAACCUCAACGCGCUGACCGCCAGGGCGGCGGCGGCGGCGCCCGUGUCCUCGCCCGAGCGCUCCGUCUCAUCCACGGUCACCGAGUCGACGUCGACCGCCUCGGCGGCGGCGGAGCAGCACGGCAACUCGGGGAGCAGCUCCGCGUCCGCGUCCGCGUCCGUCAAGGAGGAGUGCUUCACCUCGUCCGAGGAGUCGGAGGAGUUCCAGAUCGACGAGAGCUUCUGGUCGGAGACGCUGUCCAUGCCGCUGGACGACCUCAACGACGUCUGCAUGGAGCCCCACGACGCGUUUGGCAAGCCCGACGGCGACAUGGACUACUGGCUCAGACUGUUCAUGGAGGGCGGCGGCGGCAGCGGCAGCNNNNNNNNNNNNNNNNNNNNNNNNNNNNNNNNNNNNNNNNNNNNNNNNNNNNNNNNNNNNNNNNNNNNNNNNNNNNNNNNNNNNNNNNNNNNNNNNNNNNCGCGAGGAGGCGGCGGCGCGGCGAGGAGGCGGCGGCGGCACGGCGAGGAGGCGACGGCGCGGCGAGGCGGCGAGGAGAGAGGCCGAGUUGGCGAGGAGAGAGGCGGCGAGGAGAGAAGGCACGCGCGGGAAGGCGAGAUGUUGGCGACCCCGCAGAGGUAUAGGGCCUUUAGCACCGGUCUGUGUUAACAACCGGUGCUAAAGACCCUUUAGCACCGAUUGUUAACACAGACUGGUGCUAAAGGGUCCAAAAAUUGAGCGCGAACCGAACCCACCUUUAGGACCGGUUGUUGUUACAGACCGGUCCUAAAGGUUUUUUUCCUUUUUCUUUUUUCCUUUUUUCUGUUUCCUGUUUUCUUUUUCUUUUUGUUUCCUUUUUCUUUUUCCUGUUUCUUCUUUUAUUUUUCUUUUUCCUUUUUUCUGUUUCCUGUUUUCUUUUUCUUUUUGUUUCCUUUUUCUUUUUCCUGUUUCUUCUUUUAUUUUUCUUUUUUCCUUUUUCUGUUUUCCUGUUUUCUUUUUCUUUUUGUUUCCUUUUUCUUUUUUCUGUUUCUUCUUUUAUUUUAUUUUUUAGUUUCCUUUUUGUUUUUUUUACNNNNNNNNNNNNNNNNNNNNNNNNNNNNNNNNNNNNNNNNNNNNNNNNNNNNNNNNNNNNNNNNNNNNNNNNNNNNNNNNNNNNNNNNNNNNNNNNNNNNUAUCAACAUCAUCACUUUUUUCCUUGUCAUUGCUCCUCACAGAGCUAAGAAGGAAUUCACCCCUAUUAGGAUCUUUCACCAGAACCUGGUCCACCUCAAAAUAGAAAUCAUAAAAGUGCUCCCCUAGAACAGGCUCAGCUACAGAAGGAAUAUCAUCAACAUUUCUGCACCCAACCUUCACCCUAGCAGAGGCAGGACGGUGUAAGGUUGCACUAUCGAUUUCCAAGGGAACACCUACCAAGGAAGCAACAUAAGCCAUAUUUCUCUCACUUCUUUUAUCCAGAGGAACAUUACUAAUCUUAACCCAGGCCACUUCCAUCACCCCCUUAGACCCAACAGCUGAAGACCACUUAGUCACAUUAAUAACAACACCGCUCGUCUUAAGUACAAUGCGACCCACAUAACAAAUCUGAGCUACAGCCCUGGGAUUAGGAAACCUCACCACAAAAACACCCGGGCCAAUAGCAUGAGCCAAACAUCGCCAUCCUGUGGCCAGAUAGUCAUUAAGAUCAAGCUCCAUUUGUCUAGUAGAUGUCUCCCCUUCAACGAUAUUUACUACAAUAUUAUUAGAUCUCUCCUUCAUUCGAUUAACCGAACAUGGAUCAUGUAUGUAAUAAAAUCCCAUGCCCUCUCGAUUGAAAAGCACACAUAGAGGCAACACAACUCCACGGUAAGAACUCACAACAAACAGAUGCAAGAUGACCCAAUCAACCACACCUUUCACAGAAAGCUUGUGCACAAAACGCAGGAACAUGCUCACGAGACUUGCAGAUGAGGCAUGGAUCAAAAACAUUGGUAUGGCCAUAUGGUUUAAUGCAACAAGAAAGUUUAAAAUCUGAGGUAUUCUUGUGCACGUUGUGGAUGUUCAAUUGACCGGGCGUAGGUGGCAGCAUAGAAUACACACGGACAAGAAGGUAGUCUUCACCAAUCACGUACAUCUAUACUUCUAUAUAGUGUACGAGUUUUGAAUGUUUGAGUUCAGGCAUCGAAAUGCAUUUUUAGCCGUCCAUUGGGCUCCAUCCAACGGCUUAUAGCGCAGGGAUUCGCUACUACAAUACCAUUCAGUGUUAUCUCGGUCAUUCCAGAAACAACGAUGGGUUAGCACUGAGUAAGGGACCCCACUGCAUGUGAGUUCGCUGGAGCAAAUAGUCACCAUGCCAUAUCUGCAGCGCUGGGGCAAUACAAAUUGUUUUACCAACGCUGACUGCUGACACCCGCAGAGCUACAUGGCCUGUGUGGUUCGAGAAACAAGUGUGAUCCGAACCACUAGGUCUGACAGGAGGUGAAAGAGUGGAAAUAUAAGAAAUAAAAAUAAACAGAUCAAACCAAUGCAGCAUGCACAUAGGAUACAUGGCCUCACUACCUCGUAUUCAUCUAUGUGUGGGAAGCUGUAGUACUCCCUCCUUUCCGGUUUAUAGGGCUCAAAUCUGAAAUCUCAUAAACCAAGGUGAAUUGUGAGUAGAUGGCACUAGUUUUAACUAGCCAAUGAAAUAUUUCUCACAUAUUCAAUUUUGAAGGCAAUAAAUGUAGCAUCCUCCUUCUCAUUGGACUUGCAUGGUGGAUGUAAAAAACGAUGCAUGCAUAGCCACUCAUCUCCUUUCUCAUAAACUCUAUGAAUUAAAUAUGGUGUGGAACUCAAAACACUUUAACUCAAUUAGACUCAAAAUGAGCCUAAUAUAAUGAAAAUCUGAAAAUUUUGAAAUGAGCCCUAUAAACCGGAAAGGAGGGAGUAAAUGCUAUAGUGAAACAUACACUAGUGGAGAAAGGGGUAUUAGAACCGGUUGGUAAGGGCCUUUGGACCCGGAUACACAUCCGGUGCUACGUAUCCGGGACUAAAGCCCCCCCCCCUUUAGCACCGGUCUCUUACAAACCGGUGCUAAAGGCCUCCACGUGGGCGCCGAAGAGUGCGCGCAGGCAUAGGACCUUUAGGACCGGUUGGUAACACCAACCGGUCCUAAUGCCCCCCCCCCCCCCCUUUUCAGGGUUUCCGAUUCCGUAUUUCGGCGUUUCCGUGUUCCGUAUUUUCAGGGUUUUCGUUUACGUGUUUCCGGUUCCGUAUUUCCGUUUACAUCUUUCCGAUUCCGUGUUUCCGAUUCCGUGUGUCCGUGUUCCGUUUUUUACGAACACGUAAUCGGAAACACGUAUCCGGAAACACCGAUUCCGUGUUUGCGGUUAACUGUUUCUCCGAUUCCGUGUUUGCGGUUAAAUGUUGAUGCACCUAAUAAAAGUACAUAUAUACAUGUAACACGAAGUACUGGACCGAUUAUCAUUACAUAAUUUGAAGUUCGUUUCCUAUAGCUGUAUACUUGCAUAGAGAAGGGAGCUGGCUAUUGGUUCAUAGGAUGGAAAAAUUCUCCGCCUUCAUCUAUGACUUGCGUGAGGAGAAAUCCUGCCAAUUCCUCUGCAACUGCCUUGCAACGUUGGAUUGGUCUUAGCAUCGCCCGCUUUCGUUGCAGCUUUAAAAGAAGUAGAUGAAAACAAUUAAGUUAUGAACAAAACUAACAUAAUUGAUGGCAACAUAAAUAAAGUUGUGAAGAUCCGGUUACGUACCUCUAGAUUUCUGGAAGUACGGGAUUUCUCAUUGAUAAUCCUGUGAAUGUACUCGCAAACGUAUUAUCCACAAUAAUCAGUGCCCUGUGGUUGUUGCGGGACGCCCUAUAUACGAGAACAUAAUUCGGUCAAAUUAAUAAUAAUCAAGAGAAUGGUAAUGGUAUUGAAACCAGGGUACGUAGUACUACUUACUUUGUUAAUCUGAAAGUGGAGCUUGUCUGCCCAUGUACCGGGUUCUUCCUUGAUGAACAUUUGCCAAACCCUGGCCGACAAAGAAAAAUGAAUACAAGAGUUAAUUAUUACUUACUUGAUAUCAGGAAAUGAACGAAAAAGAGGCCGAUGAACGAAAGAGGCCGAUAUAUAUAUAUAUAUACCUUUGAAGCAUCUGACGCGCGCUCUUCCAUUUGUCAGCGGCCCAGGUUAACGGGUCCCAGACUUCAACCACUCCUUGAUCGAUUCUAAUGAUGAACAAUAUGAAGUGGGACCUGCGCACGUGUACACACGCAGUCAUGCAUACUCAUCAAUUACACUUAACAUCAGGUAAGCAAAAUGGAAUGUGUACAAGACAGUAACACUCACUUGAAUCCGUAGGGCCAAAGUAUUUCUUUUUUGGUACUUUGUGGCUUCAAAAACCUUAGCAAAUCAUCCGGUGUAUCCUUGUUGAACUUUUCUAUUGUCUCUUGAUGAAACGAAUACGGGUCAAUGAACCCAAAGUCCCAGAUUCCUGCCAACCUGCAUUCACGAAUCUUCAUUCUGCAUAGUAGCGUACAAAAAGAAUGUCUCGUGAGUGAUAAUUAUACGGGCAAUGAACGCGAUCUUAACUAAAUAAUUAAAUUACACAAAUAAAACACUUACAAACAGUAGCAGCUGACGAUAGCUUUGUCGAGGGCACGUUGAUUGUACAUCUGGAAAAAAUCAUCGAACCCAACCUCCACACCGUACUCUCCGAAGUAGUGUUGAUCCUGAACUGCCGCCAUGAUACAGUCUCUCUUUUGCCUUGCGGCCUCCAAGUACCAACCAUGUAAAUUCCAUAGUUGGGUUGUUAGAGCACUAGGAUUUUCGACCAGAGGCUGCUCGGGCUUAUAUUUAUAUACCACAUCAGCAAUAGCGUAACCUACGUCGCCCAUGCGUGGACCGGACACUGAAGCCUGGUCAGAUAACACCUUGAGCGGGGCAAUUGACUGUGCUUCUUGUUGUCCGAGCUGGGGAACUUGUUUCCCGCAUUUCGUCUGCUCUGCCUGCUUCAUCUGCUCCGCCUGCUUCAUCUGUGCGGUGUGCAUCUUUUCAAUGAACCGUUCAUAGUCUGAAAGGGGCGGCGGUGGCGGCGGUUCAGGAUAAUAUAAGUUGUCGAUGGUGCGCUCAAUUUUCCACUUUGGUACAUUCUUCAGAGUUUCCUUCCAGAUGUCUGGAGGGGGCUUCAGGGGAAACCGUGCGAACCAUGCUUUGUUUUUGGCUUUCACGGCCUCGUCUAGUUCCUCCGGAGUCAUCAGGCCUGGUAACUUCGGGGGAGUCUUGACUUUAUUGGGUUUCCUUUCUCUCUUCUUGGGAGGAGUCCCGUUUCUUCUGAACUGCAGCUUCCGCUUUGCCGUACCCGUAGUGCGCGCAUCCGUCGGCUCACUGGAGUGCACGGGCGAUGGACACUCGGCCUCGGGCUCCCUAUCUUCGUUGUGGGGUGGACUUGGAGGUGCGUUGGGGGAUGGACUUGGAGGUCGUGCAUUCUCUGUACGAAAGUGAAAAAACUAUUAAAAAUAGGCUUACAUGUGGUGCAACAUUCAGUAAUUGUUGGAGGUGGUGCAUAAUUGUACCUGGAGGAGUCGGUGGCCUUGGCGCCGCGUUAGGAAACACGAUGUGUUUCUUCUUCCACAAGAUGAUACCAAGCUCCAUUUCUCCGAGUGUCUUCUCGCCUUCACCUCCAGGAUUAAGAGCUCAAUUGACUGGCAUCCCGGCGUAAUUGUUGACAACCCGACACGAGCAUGGGAUGCUGGAAUCUGACCACCAUGGUAGGUUGCUCCAGGUUGAUUCGGUAAAGCAUAGCCUGACGCCACCAUGAAGGAUAUGUUCCCCAUUGGCAUAUGUAUCUCACAGUUUGUCUUCUCCGUGACAUCAUCCAUGGGGUAGUGAGGCGCCGACGGUUCGACUGCAGGACCGUCUUCUAGCUGCAGCUGCGUGGAACCCACGCUGCUUCUAUGCUGAGAUGGGACGGCAUCUGCUACAGGAUCGUCUUCUAAUUGCUGCAUAUCAGCAUCAGGUGCAGGAUCUUCUUCCUCCUCUUCAGUGUCAGGUACAGGGUGUCCCCCUUUCUUCAAGAGAAACGACACCUUUUCUUCUAAUGUCGCUAUCCGUUCCAGCGCCUUCCUCUUGCUUCUACCACGGCUUCUGUAAGUGCCAAGGUCCGCCGGAAACCCUUGGUUCCACGGGGUAGUGGCUCCAAAGCCUCGUGUUCGUCCCCACUUUUCGGGGUUCCCGAGUGCCUUCGUCAACUCGUCGUUCUCUCUAUCGGGAACAAAAGUUCCUUUUCGAACAGCUUCUAUUGCCUUCUCUAGAUCUGAUACGACUUGUCUUAUUUUUUCCGACCAUGGUCCCUCCGCAACAAUCAUCCCAGUCUCAGCGUCCAACGUUGCCCCAUGCGCGAACAACCAGAACUUGGACCUAUCGGGCCAGUCAUGUGUCUGUGGAAUGAUAUUUCUUUUCAGAAGCGCAUCUUCAUAGCGUCGCCACCUAGGCAGGGCAGUCAUGUAGCCACCUGACCCCAAAAUAUGGUGAUAUUUCUUCUUCUUCGCAUUCUCCGUAUUUGUGGCUGAUCGGGAUGUAAAGACACCCGAUUUCUUGUACGCCUUAAAAUCAGGCCAAGCGUCUCUUAUCUUCACUAGGUGCCCAGUGAAAACUGGAUCUUCGUCCUUAUAUUUCUUCCACAAGUCUUUCUUCCACCUCUGGAAUUGUGUGGCCAUCUUCUUCAAAGCCCACUCCUCGACUUUCUUCUUCUUAUCUUCCGCUACGCUGAAAUUUAGCCAGACCGUGUCGCAAAGCACUCUUUUCAAUCUGUCAUCGACAUAAGUAGCUCCAACGUUGGCGCCGGUCUUCGGCUUAUUCCAUUCUAUUAAGUUGAUCGGGACCAGGUCUCUUACAACAACUCCGCACUGAUUUACAAAUUUGCGAUAAGUUUCUGGGGGUUCCAGUGGUUUGCCAUCAGCGGCAACUUUAUCGAUCGAGUACCUUGCAGUAUCUUUCAACCUUGCGGCCAGGCCUCGUUUCGACUUUGUCUCAGUACUUGCGCUAGGUGUUCCGGAGGGCACCUAAACGGGAAAAUAAUGAUUCGUUAGUAAGUGCAAUACAAAUUAAUUGUUGCGUCAACAGUGACUUGAGAUAUACAUUGGCAGAGUUUGUUUCGGAGGGCACUUCUUCAUCUACUACAUCUUCUAUAUUCUCAGCUCCGUCACCGGAGUCGUUCAAAAAUUGAUUGCUAAACGCAUGCCCACCGUCGUCAUCAUGAUAUAUGGCCGUUGCAUCUUCAAAAAUCAUCUGGCACAUGUAUCUUUCCUUCUCCGCCUCACCCAUUUCCGCGAGCUGAUCGGCGUGCUGAUCAUGUGGUUCUUGGGGAUCCAUAGCUCAACACCUGUUAGUAACAAGAAUUUAACUUAGCAAAAUUAUUUACGGAAAAGUUUUACGGAACCGAAAAUUUUACGGAAAAGUUUUACGGAAUCGUCGGAGUCGUAAUCGUCGCAAAGUUUUACGGAAUCGUCGGAAAGUUUUACGGAAUCGUCGGAAACUUUCCCCGCAGUUAUGGAAUCGUCGGAAUCGUAGGAAAGAUUUACAGAAUUGUAAUCGUCGGAAAGUUUUACGGAAUCGUCGGAAUCGUCGGAAACUUUCCCCGCAGUUAUGGAAUCGUCGGAAUCGUAGGAAAGUUUUACGGAAUUGUAAUCGUCGGAAAGUUUUACGAAAUCGUCGGAAUCGUCGGUUUAGGGUUUUAUGGAAUCGUCGGUUUAGGGUAAACUAUGAAUCGUCGGAAUCGUCGGUUUAGGGUUUUACAGAAUCGUCGGAAUCGUCGGUUUAGGGUAAACUAUGAAUUGUCGGAAUCGUCGGUUUAGGGUUUUACGGAAUCGUCGGAAUCGUCGGUUUAGGGUAAACUAUGAAUCGUCGGAAUCGUCGGUUUAGGGUUNNNNNNNNNNNNNNNNNNNNNNNNNNNNNNNNNNNNNNNNNNNNNNNNNNNNNNNNNNNNNNNNNNNNNNNNNNNNNNNNNNNNNNNNNNNNNNNNNNNNNNNNNNNNNNNNNNNNNNNNNNNNNNNNNNNNNNNNNNNNNNNNNNNNNNNNNNNNNNNNNNNNNNNNNNNNNNNNNNNNNNNNNNNNNNNNNNNNNNNNNNNNNNNNNNNNNNNNNNNNNNNNNNNNNNNNNNNNNNNNNNNNNNNNNNNNNNNNNNNNNNNNNNNNNNNNNNNNNNNNNNNNNNNNNNNNNNNNNNNNNNNNNNNNNNNNNNNNNNNNNNNNNNNNNNNNNNNNNNNNNNNNNNNNNNNNNNNNNNNNNNNNNNNNNNNNNNNNNNNNNNNNNNNNNNNNNNNNNNNNNNNNNNNNNNNNNNNNNNNNNNNNNNNNNNNNNNNNNNNNNNNNNNNNNNNNNNNNNNNNNNNNNNNNNNNNNNNNNNNNNNNNNNNNNNNNNNNNNNNNNNNNNNNNNNNNNNNNNNNNNNNNNNNNNNNNNNNNNNNNNNNNNNNNNNNNNNNNNNNNNNNNNNNNNNNNNNNNNNNNNNNNNNNNNNNNNNNNNNNNNNNNNNNNNNNNNNNNNNNNNNNNNNNNNNNNNNNNNNNNNNNNNNNNNNNNNNNNNNNNNNNNNNNNNNNNNNNNNNNNNNNNNNNNNNNNNNNNNNNNNNNNNNNNNNNNNNNNNNNNNNNNNNNNNNNNNNNNNNNNNNNNNNNNNNNNNNNNNNNNNNNNNNNNNNNNNNNNNNNNNNNNNNNNNNNNNNNNNNNNNNNNNNNNNNNNNNNNNNNNNNNNNNNNNNNNNNNNNNNNNNNNNNNNNNNNNNNNNNNNNNNNNNNNNNNNNNNNNNNNNNNNNNNNNNNNNNNNNNNNNNNNNNNNNNNNNNNNNNNNNNNNNNNNNNNNNNNNNNNNNNNNNNNNNNNNNNNNNNNNNNNNNNNNNNNNNNNNNNNNNNNAUUGUCAAAAUGUCAUUUUUACACUUAAAAAAUAAAAAUGAUAUUUAUCAAAAUGAUCAAAUUUAGUGGAAACUGGUCAAAUUUUUAAUAUUUAUCAAAAUGGUCAACACAAUUACAUAAAAGGUUUAAUACAUUAUUACACAUCACCAACAACACCCUCUAUCUAUUUUUCUUCUUGCCUUUCUUCUGAUUGCGCCGUAACCAUGGACUAUCUUCAUCAUUUAACGGGAUGCUUGGAUCAUCUUUGACUUUGAAGGGAGGAAUUUCAUCAAAUUUAUUGUAAUCUUCUGACAUUUCUGUCUUGUCCUCGACUCCCACGAUGUUUCUUUUCCCUGAAAGAACUAUGUGGCGCAUUGGCUCAUCGUCUGAUGUAUUCGCUUCCUUAUCUUUUCUUUUUCUUGGUCUGCUAGACAUGUCCUUCACAUAGAAAACCUGAGCCACAUCAUUGGCUAGGACGAAUUGAUCAUUGCCGUACCCAAGAUUCUUCUGAUCCACUGUUGUCAUUCCGUACUUCGGGUCUACCUUCACGCCUGACAGGUUGAACCAUUUGCACCAGAACAAAGGGACCUUAAAGGAAGGUCCGUAGUCAAGUUCCCAUAUCUGCUCUAUGUAACCAUAGUAUGUGACCCUUUGCCCGUUGUCGUCUUUUGCAUCAAACCGGACGCCACUGUUUUGGUUGGUGCUCUUUUUAUCUUGGUCUGCCGUGUAAAAUGUGUUACCAUUUAUCUCGUACCCUUUAAAGGUCAAUACAGUCGAAGAUGGUUGCUUGGCCAACAAGUAUAGCUCAUCUUCAACAAUGUUGUCAUUAAUGAGACGUCUUUGCAACCAACCGCCGAAAGUCUUCGCGUGUUCUUUAGCAAUGAAAUCUUCAGGUUGCUUCGGGUAUUCCGAGCGUAAAAUAUCCUUGUGUUCCUGGAUAUAUGGAGCCGCCAAGCUGGAAUUAACUAGAACUGUGUAGUGUGCUUGAGUGAAAGAUUGCUCGUCCAUACAUGUUGUUGAUUUCUUUCCUAGCGUGCCUUUUCCACGCAGUCUCCCCUCAUGGCGCGACUGAGGAACACCGAUCGGGUUCAGGUCAGGAAUAAAGUCAACACAAAACUCAAUGACCUCCUCUGUUCCAUAGCCCUUGACCAUGCUUCCUUCUGGCCUAGCACGGUUUUUAACAUAAUUCUUCAAGACUCCCGUGAACCUCUCAAAGGGGAACAUAUUGUGUAAGAAUACAGGACCGAGAACAGAAAUCUCUUGGACUAGGUGAACUAUGAGGUGCGUCAUAAUAUUGAAGAAGGUUGGUGGGAACACCAACUCGAAGCUGACAAGACAUUGGACCACGUCCUUCUGUAAACUUGGUAGAGUUGCUGGAUCGAUUGCCUUCUGAGAAAUUGCGUUGAGGAAUGCACAUAGCUUCACAAUGGGUACUCGCACGUUUUCUGGCAGAAGCCCCCUCAAUGCAAUCGGAAGUAACUGGGUCAUGAUCACGUGGCAUUCAUGAGACUUUAGGUUUUGGAACUUUUUCUCUUCCAGGUUUAGUAUUCCUUUUAUGUUCGACGCGUAGCCAGACGGGACCUUGAUACUGCUCAGGACUUGGAAAAAGAUCUCCUUCUCUUCCUUGGUAAGAGCGUAGCUGGCAGGACCUUUGAAAUUCUCUCGAUUCAUCAGGUCGUCUCGUUCGUGCAUACGUUGGUGGUGCAGCCGUGCUUUUGGUGUAUCUCUCGACUUCUUCCCAUGCACGCCCAAUAAGUUUAGCAGGUUCACGCAAAUAUUUUUCGUCACGUGCAUCACGUCGAUCGCAGAGCGAACCUCUAGGAAUUUCCAAUAGGGUAGUUCCCAGAAUGUAGAUUUCUUCUUUCACAUGGCUACGUGGUUGUCGGCGUCAUUCGGAACAGAUUGUGCGCCAGGACCCUUACCAAAGAUUACUUUUAUAUCUUUGACCAUGUCAUAUAUAUCAGUACCUUUAGGGAGGGUUGGCUUCCUCCGUGUAUCUGCCUCGCCUUUGAAAUGCUUUCCUUUCUUUCUUACGGGAUGCCUGUCUGGAAGAAAUCGACGAUGCCCCGGGUACACAUUCUUGCCUAUAUGUAUACUUUCAGUCUCGCCUAAACAGUGUGUGCAUGCGCUGUAUCCCUUGUUUGACUGUCCUGAGAUGUUACUAAGAGCGGGCCAAUCAUUGAUGGUUACAAACAGCAACCCUCGUAGGUCUAAUUCCUCCUGUUUGUACUCGUCCCACACACGUACACCUUCGUCAGCCCAUAACUCUAAAAGUUCAUCAACCAGUGGCCUCAGGUACACAUCAAUGUUGUUGCCGGGUUGCGACGGGCCUGGGAUAAGCACUGGCAUCAUAAUGAACUUACGCUUCAUGCAUAACCAAGGAGGAAGGUUAUAGAUACAUAGAGUCACGGGCCAGGUGCUAUCACUGCUACUCUGCUCCCCAAACGGAUUCAGGCCAUCUGUACUUAGACCAAACCUUAAGUUUCUUGGGUCACGUGCAAAGUCCUCGUACUUAUCAUCGAUGUUUCUCCACUGCGACCCAUCAGCGGGUUGUCUCAGCAUAUCGUCUUCCUUACGGUCUUCUUUGUGCCAUCGCAGCAACUUGGCAUGCUCUUUGUUUCGGAACAAACGUUUCAACCGUGGUAUUAUAGGAGCAUGCCACAUCACCUUGGCAGGAACCCUCUUCCUGGGGCGGUCGUCGCCCUCAACAUCACCAGGGUCAUCUUGCCUGAUCUUAUACCGAAAUGCACCGCAUACCGGGCAGGCAUUUAAAUUCUCGUGCUGACCGCAGUAGAGGAUGCAGUCAUUGAUGCAUGCAUGUAUCUUAUGCACUUCCAAUCCUAGAGGGCAGACAACCUUCUUUGCUUCGUACGUACUGCAGGGCAGCACGUUAUCUCUUGGAAGCAUCUUCUUCAUUAUUUUCAGCAGCUUUUCAAAUCCCUUGUCAGAUAUUCCAUUCUCUGCCUUCCAUUGCAGCAAUUCCAGGGUGGUGCCCAGCUUUUUCUGGCCAUCUUCGCAAUUUGGGUACAACAAUUUUUUGUGAUCUUCUAACAUGCGCUCCAACUUCAACCUCUCGUUUUCACUUCCGCAGUUUAUCUGUUCUUCACGAAUGACCUGACGAAGAUCAUCAUCAGACUCAUCAACAAUGUCCUCAAGUUCAGGCUCGUCUUCCCCCAUUUCAGUAUCACCGUGUUCACCGAACAUAGGAUAGUUAUCAUUAUCCUCUUCUUCUUCAUUGUCUUCCAUUACAACCCCUCUUUCUCCGUGCUUGGUCCAACAAAAAUAACUGGGCAUGAAGCCUUCUUGCAACAGGUGGGUGUGUAUCGUUCUUGAGUUAGGGAAAUUCCUCUUAUUCUGGCAUUUUUUACAUGGACAAAAAAUAAAUCCAUUCUGCCUGUUUUUCUCAGCCACAUUGAGAAAACUAUGCAUGCCAUUAAGGAAUUCGGGACGACGUCGAUCACUGUACAUCCAUUGCCGGUUCAUCUGCAUUAUAUAAAUUUAUCAAAAACCAUUAUGCUAAAUCAUCAUGACUAAAUUAAUUAAUUAAUACAAAAAGUUCAUCACACGUUAAAACCAAAGUAGCGUAGUGACCAUACAUAUACAGUUCUCAUAAAAACACACACUGAAACCAACCAUAAAAACUCUCUCUAAUUAAUGCAUUUAAAAACAACAACAAAUGCGAUCAAAAUCGCAACAAAGGUAACAAUUGACCCGACGGCAUAAUGAUACCAAGCCUCUUUACUAAUUGCAUAUUUUCUAAUCUUUCUAAUCUUCAGACGCAUUGCGUCCAUCUCGCUCUUGUGACCAUCGACGACACCGGCAAGAACCUUUUCCAAGGUCAUCUUCUCUCUUUCAGUUUUUUCCAACCUUUCUUCAGUUUUUUUCAAUCUUUCUUUCAGGCCAACAUUUUCUUGUUCAACUAAGUGUAACUUCUCACCAAUAGGGUCGAUUGGCAUUUCCGGUUCCACUACCUCCUAGAUAAAAAUAUCUAUGUCAAGUUGGUCGACGUAAUUAAUUGUCAUAUAAUCAGGAAAUGAAAAUAUGUAGUUAUAAAAGAUAAUAUACCACAUCCGAAUCAUAGACUGGACGAGGGCCAACGGGGACGGAUAUCAAAACCAUGGCGCUAUACAUAUAAAAAAAUCUUACACAAUAAGAACAUAUAUACAAGUAAAUAUGUAAAUCAUACAAAUCAAAAUUUGUUUUGGUAAAUAAAAACAAUAGGCUCACCAAGGUUGUGUCGGUGAUGGGGCGAUCGACGGCGGUGAGGAAGGGGACAAGGCGCGCGACACUAAAAAAACCACAAAUCAUAAUUAAAUUUGAGCUCAAAUUGCAUAUGUAUACAUAACAAAUGAUGAACUCUCUCUAGCUUAGGCAUUUCAUCAAACACCUAGCUAGCACAACAAAAAUGAAAUGAGCAAGAAAACGAGCAAAACUUGCAAUGCCAGAAGAGGGAAUGUUGAUGCUAACCGUAGGACCGAUGGGUGCCAACAAUCUUGACAAAUGGUGGAGAAAAAUGGGGAUGGAUUAGAGCUCCCAAGAGGAAGGAGAGAGCAAAAAUGGAGUUGAGCUCGAGCUAGAAAAAAUGGGGUGGAAUAUAGGGUGCUCAGGGAGGAAGGAGAGGAGGGCUUUAGGACCGGUUUGUGUCAAAAACCGGUGCUAAAGGGUCUGACAGCGGGGCCCUGCAGUUGUUGCAAAAAUGAGAAAACCUUUAGAACCGGUUUGUGAUACAAACCGGUUCUAAAGGGUCUGUCCACUGGCCCCCCCUCCCUGCAGCAAACGGUCCAAAAACCUUUAGGACCGGUUUGUGUUACAAACCGGUCCUAAAGGCCUUUCGGCCAUUUGCUGCAGGGAGGGGGCCCAGCGGACAGACCCUUUAGAACAGGUUUAUAUCCAAUCCGGGUCAAAUAUGGUUGGCUCAAUGCCCUGUUUUCUACUAAUGAUAGCAAUAGGUAGGGUAGGCACCACGUGAACCUAGGUAUAUAUGAAGCCGCUUUUUAAAUGCAUUUUAAAGAUGUUUCAAAAUGUUGAAAAGUACAAAACAAAAUUUCAAGCACACAUCUUCACAAAAUAUAUGAGGGUUAUAAAAUUUGAUAAAAAAAUCCUUUUUUAUUUAGAAGAUAAAUUUUAGAGCUUGUUGAUAUUUCCGAAAUGAGUUUUCGGAAGUGAGUUUAUAUGUAAUCUUUUUAGAUAUUUUUUUCAAUUUAGAAAUGUGUUUUUCAAAGUGGGUGAAUCUAUGUAUUUUCUGCAAUAAGUCAUUUUUUGUGCAAAUACAUACUUUGGUAGUGAUUGCGUAAGAACACAAGAAGCUUUCUUAUGCUGAUUUCAAGUAAAUGCACAGUAGACAUUUGUCUUGAAUCAUUUCUCUGUCAUUUUCAUCAGCUAUUUUCACCAAAAUCACUCUGCAACAUGAAGACGCGCAUUGUGCGUGCAUGCAUACUACUCCCUCCGUUCCUAAAUAUAAGUCUUUUUAGAGAUUCCACUAAUAGACUACAUACGGAUGUAUAUAGAUAUAUUUUAGAGUGUAGAUUCAUUCAUUUUGCUCCGUACGUAGACUCCUGGUAAAAUCUCUUAAAAGACUUAUAUUUAGGAAGGGAGGGAGUAGUAUAUAGCUGUAUGGAUGCAUGCAUGAAGCUAGCCAAGCGUGGCGGCGACGGUUUGCUGGGUAUAAACAUGUCAACGACGAGAGAUGUGUGACGCCUUUUCAUUAUAAAAAAAAUGAUGCGGACCUCCUCAAAUAGAUGCAAGAUGCAUUCAUGAUUUUCUUGACACACGUACAGACUUAGGUUUUUUUUAUAUGAGGCCUAGUUAGGUACACACAAUUUCAAAAAUACCACGCGUUAUUGAUUAGAUGUUACUCCCUUCGUUUUAAAAUAUAAGACAUUUUAGAGAUUACACUAGGAGACUACAUACAGAGCAAAAUGAGUGAAUCUACAUUCUAAAAUAUGUCUAUGUAUAUCCGUAUGUAGUUCAUAGUGUAAUAUCUAAAAGGUCUUAUAUUUAGGAACGGAGGGAGUACAUGACAUGCCCUAAAAAAAGAAGUUACGUGACAUGCCCACCUAAUAGAUUGGUAAAAUUACAUAAAUCUAACGGUCAUGGUUUAUUUGUUUAAUAGGAUCCAUUAGAUAAAGAGUUGGUAUUUUCUGAUUAACGUGAGAUUUUCUUUGUAAUCUCUCUAUUUUCAUUUGUAUUUUGCUUUUAGUAGAUAAUAGAUAGAUUGAAAAUUCGCAUGCUUAAUCUCUUUGGGGUCAUGAAUCCAAAUUUGGAGUGAAUUGUACAUAUGGAUUUUUAUCCUCCAAAGGAUUAUCAAAACAUAUCUUUAGAGGAUGAGAAAAACUUGUAUCUCAAUGCUCAAGCUUCUAACGUGCUUCUUAAUUCCUUGAGAAAUGUAGUUAUAUUUUAACUCAUGCCAUUUCGGAAUGCUCAUAAGUUGUGGACCGAGCUUCAAGAUAAAUAUGACGUGGCCAAAAUUUGUAGGGAUGAUUGUUCUCCCUCCACCUCCGGUCGCAUUGUUUUCUCAACUUCAUCUACUUCACCUACUUGUGGAUUGCCACAAUGUAAUGAUAUGGUGAGUAGUGGUGAUCAUUGCAAUGAUGAUAGUGGGCUUGUUGUUGAUGAUCCUUCAUCACUAUCUUAUUGUAAAGAUUCAUCUUUGGGCGUUAAUACUUCGAGCACUCUAAAUGUUCUACAUGCUUGUGUUGAUAGUCCUUGCAUAUCAUGUAAAAACCGCUUGGCUAAAUCUCAUGAUGAUAUGCUUUUUAUAUCUUGUUGCCAUGAUAAAAAUGUAUGUAUUUCCGCGAGUUGUUGUGCUAACAAUGUAGAGGAAAUCCAUCACUCCAUGAAAAAAUAUGUGCCCUUGAAUGAUGCUUCAAGGGAUCCUACAUCAGCAUCUAUUAUUUCUCACUUUUGCCUUAUGGUUAAGGCUUCAAAGGUAUAUCCUACAUCGAAUCCCAAUAUAUCUCAUGAUGAUGAUGUUGAUGAUAAUGAGGAUAAGGAUAAUGAUGAAGAGAGUGGUAAUAUUGCAUCCUUAAAAAUUAAGGGUGAAAUGAUUCUUAAAUCUCUUUAUAAGAAUAAACUUGCAUGUUCCACCUUCAUGGAAAUCAUGUCUAUUGGCAUUGAGGGCAAGAAAUACAAUGAGGAGUUGGAAGCUCAUCUCGAGGAGCAUGAGGCCACCAUUGAGAUAAUGGAAGGUCAUGGGCGUGAUUACGCCGAUGAGAUCGCGGAGCUAUCUCAAGCUCUUGAAAAUGAACAAACCACCAAGGAAUCUCUUGAGGAAACCUUUGCUCUAGAAUUCUCUAGAUUAAAGGAAUCCCAUGAUAGAGCUCUCGAGGUGGCUAAUGAUUUUAGAGCUAAAAUUGAUAAGGUUGAAGUUGCACAUGCUAAACUCCUUAUGGACCGUGAGCACCUCAAAAAUGGCUCAAGGGCUAUUAAGAGUUCGCUCAUCGAACUCACCGAGUCUCAUGCUCAACCUGAAGCUUCAUAUACAAAAUAGCUUGCCAAGGUUCCUUCUCUUGUUGUUUAUAAUGUUGCUUGUGCUACUAACUCCAUUUCUUGUGAAGCAUCCAUAUUAAAGGAGAAUGUUGAGCUAAGGGCUCAACUUGACAUACAAAUAUAUUAUCUUGGACAUCUUUUAUGAUUGUGAAUAUCAAUUAAUUAUUUUCAAACUUGAUCAAAUAGUUAAAGUUGGACAAGGAAUACAACGUAAUUGUUAUGUUUGGAUAUAUUUACAUAGAAGUUAUAUUGUUAUGGAUCCUCCAACGUGUGGUGCUUGAUUAGAAUCUUUUGCUUGCCAAAACUUCGUACUAAGUAGAGAUAUUACUUGUGCAUCCAAAUCCUUAAGCCAAGUUUCUUCCAUGAGAGUCCACCAUACCUACCUAUAUAUAUGGUAUUUCACUUCCAUUUCAAGUAAAUUUGCAUGUGCCACCUCUAAACCUUCAAAUGAAUAUCCAUUAUGUGUGCUUGUACCGCUCAUGGAGCGACGGGGUGGUCAUUAUCUUCCAUGCUAAGCGAGUUAUUAUCAAGAUGAGUAUUUAUUCACUUGCCAUUGCACGAGAGAGGCUGCUAAAAAGGAUUCCCAGUCCUGCAUAAUACAAAAAUAAUAAACAAGAACUCCCCUAGAAAUUUGAUUGUUUGGAGGGCACACGUGGAUACGACUAGCCAUGGAAUGUGAUUGAAUGGUGGAGGGGGAGUAAAAUUUCAAUUUUGUUUGGGAACCGCCAAUAAUGUGAUUAGCAUGGAAGGUAUUCAAAAGGGCACACCACCCAAAAUUACAUAUUCAUUUCUAUUUUAAAACAAUGAGCUCUGGCACCUCUCCAAAUCCCUGCUUCCCUGUGCAAAGGGACAAUCUAUUUACUUUCAUGUUACUUACUUUUCAUGUUGUGUCCACUUCAUAUUACAACCUCAAUCUAUUACUUGGCAAUCACUAUGUGGUGGGAAAAGAUCCAAACAUAUAUAUCCAGUCAAAUAUGUUUGAUCAUGAUUCAUUAUUGUUGACGAUCAUCUUUAUGAUAAAAUAUGUUAGGAGGCGAAACAUUAAUCCCCUAUCUUUCUCUAUGUUCGAUGGAUGUUGUUUGUUCUAAAAAUAUGCCUUGAGUAUUAGCAAUAAUAGAAUAUUAUAUGAUAAUUGAGAAUGUGGAUCUAUUACUUUGACUUGAUGAUGCAUUGAAAUUGUUUGAUGACUAAGAACAUAUGAUGUUGGGUUUCAAGAGAAUGCAUUGUUUGAACCAUGACAUGUGAAUUAAUUGCUUCAAUGCCAUGAUGAUUUUUAUGAAAAAGUUGCUCGUUAUGAUGCCAGAAAAAUUGAACGGAAUUAUCAUUGAUCAAACUUAUAUACUAUGCUAGCAUUCACACUUCAUAAAAUAUUUCUUUUAUCAUUUACCUAGUCAAGGACGAGUAGAAAUUAAGCUUGGGGAUGCUGAUACGUCUCUAACGCAUCGAUAAUUUAUGAAGUAUUCAUGCCAUGAUUGCCUAUGUUAACAACACUUUUAUAUGAUUUUGAUGCACUUUAUAUGAUUUAUUUUGAACUAACCCGGACUGAUGUUGUUUUCAGCAGAAUUACCGUGGUGGUGUUUUUUGUGUAGAAAAUGAAAGUUCUCAUAAUCGGCCGAAACUUUUAUAAAAAAAAUCUGGAAAUAAGCAAUAUUGGAGCGAAGAACCACCGGAGGGGAGCCACCAGUGGGCCACAAGCCAACAGGUUGCGACCCCCCCAGCACGCGUUGGCUGUGGCGUGAUGGUUUGUGGGGCUGCUGCGGCAAAAAAAGUCCUUCCCUGGCGCGUAGUAAUUCUUCUUGUUACUUCUCUGGUUUGCAUCGGUUUUUCCCUUGAAGAGGAAGGGUAAUGCAGCACAGGAGCAGUAAGUAUUUCCCUCAGUUUGAGAACCAAGGUAUCGAACCAAAAGGAGGGCCUCGUCAAGUCCAAAGUACCUGCGCAAAAACAAACAAUCUUGCACCCAACGCUUCAAAGCGGUUGUCAAUCCCUUCAAGAUUGUUUGCAAAGUGAGAUCUGAAGGCGGAAAGUGCAACGAAGUGAAAAGUGUAAGGCUGAAAAUAUGGUGUGGAGUAGACCCUGGAGGCCAUAGUGUUCACUAGAGGCUUCUCUCAAAAUAGCAAAUAUUACGGUGGGUGACGUAUCACGGGACCAUGUGGCUCCAUUUGGCAUGAUUCAAACGUUGAAAAAUCCUAUAUAUACAAGAAACUCCAUAAAUAAAGAGAGAACUUGCGCUCCGCUGCCUCAACUCUUUGUAUCGACGAAAAACCCAUCUACAACCUUUCCAGUACCCUAUCGGAGAGGGGAAAUCAUUUCCGGUGUCCAUCUUUAUCAUCCUGGCGGAGGCCAUGACGAGGAGGGAGUAGUUCACCCUCGGGAUUGAGGUUUUGUACCAGUAGCUAUGUGUUCUCUCUCGUGUUCUUGAGAUGUCAUAAUCAUGAUGUAUCGCGGGCUUUAUUUAUAUAGUUGGAUCAUAUGGUGUUCUUGAUAUGACAAAGGCUAGAAAUAUGAAUUUGGUUUUAUGUCUAUCGAACAACUAUCUAGCUUGAAAAUUAAUUUCAAUAAGAGUGAGUCGUUCUACUUUAAGCACAUCAAGGAAAAACAGGAUAAUUAUAAACAGUUGUUCAAGUGUGAGCUAGGAUCCCUAACUUUUAGGUAUCUAGGAAUACUAAUCCAUCAUUGUAGAUUAACCAACAAAUAAUGGAAUUGCAUUGAAGAUCGAUCUGAAAAGAAAGGUGUUGGAAGGGCAAGUUUAUGUCUUAUGGGGAUCAGUUAAUUCUUAUAAAUUCCAUGCCAACGAGUAUGUCGAUGUUCCUUCUGUCAUUAUUUGAAGUACCCUUGGGGGUACGAAAAGGUUGGUUUUCUAUUGAUCUUGUUUUAUUGCAAAUAGAUGAAAACAAAACAAAGUACAAACUAGUCAAACAAGACAUAAUUUGUAGAACUAGAGACCAAAGAGGUUUAGGAAUAAAAAAUUUGAGGUGAAGAAUAGAUGCCUACUCGGUAAAUGGUUGUAUACAUUAUCGGCUGGGGGAUGGUGUGUGAAUACAGUUGUUGCGUGACAAGUAUUUAUAAUCUGAAAUUCGCGCACAAGUUAAUUCAUAGUUGGAAAUGAAAAUAAUACUAUGUAACAUCCCAAAUUUUGGAUUGUUAAUAUAACUAAUAGAUUGAUUGAUUGUUUGAUGGAGUGAUUGAAACUUGAGUGAAAUUCGAAACUUUUUUAAAACUUUUGAAUGAGUGGGAAUAAAAUGACUUUCCCAUUUUCUUUUGAAUUCCAAGUUCAUCCAAUACAAAUUAGUGAGAGAAGAUAACAUGACUUAUUCAAAAUAAAGGACUUGGAUAAAAAGGUGGUCCGUGAAAAUAAUUCCUUUUGCAAUCUAUUUCAUAUUUGGUCCUAUUUGAAAGUUUAAAUGAAUUCAAAAUCCCCUUACCCAAAAUUCAAAAUCUUCAAAGGAGCAAUAUGAUACUCCAAAUCAGGGGCCAUUUGACAUUAUAUUUGAACAUAUGAAACUCACAAGACUAUUUUGAAUAUGUUUUAUAUUAUGUUUUAAAAACAAUUUUUGAAGUGGUUUUCAAAUUUAUUUUUCUCCAAAAAUAAAAUACCUCGAAAAUAGGGUAAAAUGAUUCCCUUCAAUAUAAAAAUGGAGAGAAAUUAAUUUGAAUCCAUUUUAGUAUUUUCAAAAUAUUUUCUUUGCAUUUUUCUUAAACCACCAACAUUGUUUGAAUUUUCUGAUUUUGUGAGAUUUUUGUUUCGCCUUGAAAAUAUGUUCAUAUCGUGGGAAAUAUUUUUCUACAAAUUUUGAUAUAUAAUAUGUCUAUAUAAAAGUGUUAUAGAUUUUCUUUUAUUUAGUUUCCUUUCUGGUUUUGUAUAAUAGGAAAUAAAUCGUUUUUAUUAGGAAAGUGACUUGCGCCUGUUAGCAAAUCUGGCCCGUAUCCUCUUCUUCUUCCUCACGAGCUCCUCCUUCCUUCCCUGCGCGUAGAGAAGCUUCCUCACCGGGGCAACGAAUCCCGAGCCGAUCUCUUUGCUCUUUCCUUCCCCGACCCUCCCGAGGCCGCCUAUAAAUAGAGGAGUGUUCUUGAUGUAGUAUCAUGUGCUAGGCACUCAUAAACUCUUGGUACUUGGACGGGACGUUAAUUUGCUAUGCUCCUAGUAGACGGGGUCUGGUUUAGUGUUUACCAUGAGUGUUGUGAGAACUUAAUAAUCAAGACCUGAAGACUUCAAGACUCUCAAGACCUCAUGAUGCAAUAUACCUCUGGGUGAAGCACGGUUUUGAUGGGCUCCCUGGGGAAACCAGUGGAUGAACCGGAAUGCAUGGGGAAGCGCCAUGACAUAUUGCGGAAAGCUUCACAUAGGCACGAAGAGAUGGAUGGAUACUUCAAGACCCAAGGCCUACCUGCACAGCCACAAGUCAUUAUGGGCUCUGGCUUGGUCGGACACUAUGGUGACUCUAGACGGGCGGUGCUAUGAGAUGUAAAAGAACGGUAGGAUUGGAUGGACACCGACACUGGCUCAGAGGAACCCUUUGGAAGACCAAGUUUUGAUCAUCCGGUUCUCAAACACCCUGAAGUGCGAGGACUCCAACGAAGGCAAUCAAAUCUUGUGGAGAACGUGUGCAAAACUCUGCAGAGUACGCAAAACUAAUCGGUUAGUCGUGUCCACGGUCAUGGACAACUUCAGCCAAAGGAACUGGAGCUAUCAGGAAUUCUCAACACCAUUAACUUAUUGAUGUGGGUAAUAUUGAUAACUUGGGUAUGAUAAAUGGUUGGUGGAACCUUUCUCAUUAACAACCAACAAUGUAGUAAAUUUUUCUUUUACCUCUCUCUUGCUGUAGGAAAAUUUUGCUUUAUGCAAACUUAAACUACAGCCCCACCUGCCAUAUAUGCAUAUAGGAUAGAUGAUAUUUUCACCCUCUCUUUUGUGACUUGCCGGCAUAUUCAAUAUGUUGACCUAAACAUCUUAUGUUGCAGAUACUUUCUUCGACGAGUAAGAGUAUGAUUCAGGGUUACGGUCUGCACUCAACCUGUCGUUGAUGUUUAUUGGGAAUCCACUCCCUUUGACUAUUUCCGCUGAGAUUUUGAGGUAUAUAUAUCAAUUUUACGUUAUUUACAUGUGAUUGCACUUUGAUAUUUACAUUGAUGUACUGUGUGUGCCGGCAUAAUGAUCCAGGGAUGGCACAGAUACACAGAGGCUUGACUCUUUUUGAGUCGGGUCGCUACAGAUAUGGUAUGAGAGCACAUGUUGACUGUAGGACGUAACCCUAGGAAAUGGCUUAGAAAUAGGAAGACCUUGAUAGGAACAACUUUUAUUUUCACUACUCUCGUACCUCUUAAUUCUUUUACUGAACAUUCCCUAUUUCAAAAACUAUAAAUGGAGAGUUACACUCUGAACGAAAGAGAGCACAACGAAGAUGUUCUCGGAGGCCCAUUUCUCAUGGAGCUGGUACAGAUGAUGAAGUUGCCGAUACGUGGGAUCAAGGUGACUAAGAGGAAGUUUGGAUUUUGGGGUGUCAGAACUAAAAAAUUUGGGCGUAAAGAAGACCCCAAGACUGAAGACAUCAACUAUGGCACGUUGACCCAUGACUGUGAUAUGGGCAUGAACACUGUUGUUCAUGAUGCUAUCGUACGUUUGAGCUAUCGUCAUCGUGUUAAGUUGGAUACUCACUACUUUGGAAGGCUUGGAUGGCAGAAGCCUGAGGGAGCACACAUCAUCCUGGCAGACGAGCAGAAGGUGAAGUUUUCACCUGUAGUGGUGUAUAAUCAAGAACUGGAACAUUAUAUCAAGAACCUUCAGAUGGACCUUCUCUCAGAAUUGUUUGAGAAUAACACACUUCAUGAGAGUCUCAAGGGCGGGAAACGGAAGGUAGCCAAUGUGAAGAAACACGAUCCCUAGAUUCAGAAGCUUCGUCAAGACUUGAAGAAUAGUCAAGCUAUGGCACAUGUUGGUGAUGUUGAAAUCCAGAAGCUCAAGAACCAACUCCUGGAACUACAAGGACGACAUCGGAAACUCCGCGAAAACAGGGAAUAUAUGGCAGAAGAACUUGAGAAGAUCAAGCCUGACGAGAAGAAGCCCACUGAUGAUGAAGACAUGAUAUGAGCUAGCUUAGUAGUAGUAGCCCCCCAUGAGAGAAAUAAAGACGAACGUUAUUGCGUAUUGUGUGAUCGACCAGACCAACCUUAUGUGGGUGGCGAUACUAUAUUAUUGAUUGAACUUUAUGAAUGUGUGGAUUUGAUUUUAGAUAUUUUUGUGUCUUUUGUUUAUAUAUUUUCCCUCUCUCUCUCCCUCUCUUACCCAUCUCAUCCCAAAAACCAUGGAACCAAUAGAUGGCGUACGAAGCUGGACUUGUAAUCUCUGGACCAAUGACCCAUCUCGAAGUUGAAAUAUGGAUUCGGAACAUGGAGAACCACUUCGAGAGCAAUUUGAUUUCAAGGAAAUAUGAAGUGGCACACACUCUUCAGUACUUUACCCAAGGUGUUGCUAUCUGGUGGAAAAUGCAUCAUGCCAUACAAGGAUUUAGUGGAGCAGAAACUUUGGACGAAUUCAAGAAGACUCUGUUAAGAUCCCUUCUCAUUCAGAAGUGCUAUGAUAGCCCGAUGAAGAAACCUUAUGCAUGUAAGAUAUGUGGAGAAAUAGGACACACCCAGGGAGAACACAAGGAUGGAUGCCCUCAUUGUGAAUAAAAUCACCCAGCAGAGGAAUGCCCAACUAGUCAGGUGACUUGCUUCUUGUGUGAAGGAAUCACCCAGUACCCAGCUCCGUGUCACAUUUACCCCAAGGUGCAAAAAGUUGUCAAGCAGCAGAAAGAAGCAAUGAAAGAAACACUCAAGGACAAGAUUCUAGAAGAACCGGGGAUGAAGGAAAAUAUAGAAGAUCCUGAUGGAGAGAGCCUAACCAGAUUUUUCUCCAAUGCAUGUUACUCAUGUGGAGAAGGACAUUUUUCACAGGAUUGCACGAAGGAAAGCCAUAAAUACCUGGGAGACUUCCCGACAGAAAAAGUAGAGUUUGAUCCACUUGAAAAAGAAGAACUGGCUAGAAUGAAGGAGUCCGGAAAGAAGAGAAAGUACACCAGCCAGAGUCAAAUCCUUGCACAUAAAGACCUCAGUCAUAUCAGAUGUUUCAAGUGUAAGGAAUUGGGCCACUACAUCAAUAUGUGCCCAGGAAAGAAGCAGGAAACCCAAGGAGUAAAAGUAAACACCAAGAAACCCCGAGACUUGUCGGAACUCAUUUGCUUCCGUUGCAAGGAAGCAUGACAUUAUGUUAGUAAUUGUCCACAUGGGAAGAAAGCUAAAAUGGAGUAGUUAAGUUUUGACAAUGGCAAUAAGUGUAACAUGAAGCACUCUUGUUUCAUGAGAUUAUGGAGUUGAAUUUUGUAAUGGAAGACUCAGAGAUUGUAAUAACUUCAUGAAUCAAUGGAAUUUAUUGUGUCAUGAUUUCUUAUGUUCAAAUUGUAUGAGUUGUUUCUCUAUGAACAAAGACCGCUGACCAUUUUCGAGGAUAUGAGAAAAUAUGGUCUAUGCAGGCAUGAGUAUAUCUCAUUUUAGUGUGGUAGUAAUCGAUAAACCCACAUGAUUCAAUGAGUAGGAAUGUACCAUGCAUACCAAGGAGCCAUAAUCCACUGAAUACAGUUGAAGGAAAUGUUGGACCAUAUCAAACUAUGGGGAUGACAACAGAUGAAUAAUGUACCUUGGAAUUGGAAUUUUGAGGAGAGAUUUGAAAUGAGGAACUGCUACUGCAACAAAAGACCUUCCAACGGUGCCAGAAACACGUGCUGACGGGAGACUGUUCUUGUCUUGAUACUCCUCAGCAACGGCACCAGGAAUCCUUCUGCUACGGCUACGCCUUUAGGGACUUCCUAGGCAAAUAUGCAAAGGAUUUCCCGCGGCCUUUGAGCCUUGCGUUGGUUUCCCUCGAAGCGGAAAGGGUGAUGUAGCACAACGGUGGUAAGUAUUUCCCUCAGUUUUGAGAACCGAGGUAUCGAUCCAGUGAAGGAGUAUCACAAGUGCCUGCACAAACAUAAAAUGCUUGCUCCCAACCCUAUGAAGGGGUUGUCAAUCCCUUAUAGAUUGUUUGCCAAGUGAGAACUGAAAGCAACAAAGUAACAAAGCAAAGUAAAAGCGAAAGUGGAAACGAUAAGUGUGAAUAGACCCGGGGACCUUAGUGUUCACUAGUGGCUUCUCUCAUGAAAGCAAGUAGACGGUGGGUGAACAAAUUACUGUCGAGCAAUUGAUAGAACCGCGCAAAGUCGUGACGUCAUCUAUGGCAAUGAUUAUAUCUAUAGGCAUCAUGUCCAAAACAAGUAGACUGAUACUUUAUGCAUCUACUAUUAUUACUCCACACGUCGACCGCUAUCCAGCAUGCAUCUAGUGUAUUAAGUCCAAAAGAAUAGAGUAACGCCUUAAGCAAGAUGACAUGAUGUAGAUGGACAAUCUCAUAUCUACGACAAAGCCCAACUUGUUACCCUUGAUGGCAACUACACGAUGUGUGCCUUGCUGCCCCUACUAUCACUGGGAAAGGUCACCACACGGUAAGAACCCAAAACCAAGCACUUCUCCCAUUGCAAGAAUCAUAGAUCUAGUUGGCCAAACAAAACCCAAGACUCGGAGAGACUUACAAGGAUAUCAAAUCAUGCAUAUAAUAAAUCAACAAAGACUCAAAUAUAUAUCAUAGAUAAUCUGAUCACAAAUCCACAAUUCAUCGGAUCUCGACAAACACACCGCCAAAGAGGAUUACAUCGUAUAGAUCUCCAUGAAGAUCAUGGAGAACUUUGUAUUGAAGAUCCAAGAGAGAGAAGAAGCCAUCUAGCUACUAAAUACGGACCCGUAGGUCUGAAGUGACCUACUCACGAGUCAUUGGAGGGGCGAUGAUGUUGAUGUAGAAGCCCUCCAACUCCAAAGUCCCCUCCGGCACGACACCGGGAAGGGUCUCCAGAUGAGAUCUCGCGGAAACGGAAGCUUGCGGCGGCGAAAAAGUGUUUUCGUGGAUUCCCUGAUUCUGUUCUGUAUUUUAGGGAAUAUAUAGGCGAAGGAGCUAGGUCAAGGGGGCGCCAGUGAGGCCACAAGCCUGCUAGCCGCCGCCGGGGGGGGGGGGGGGGGGUGGCGGCUACAGGGCUUGUGGGCCCCAUGUAGCUCUCCUGGCUUGGCCCUCAAGCCCCCUGAUCUUCUUCCAUUCGGGAAAAAUUUAUUUCAGGGAUUUGAUUCCAUUUGGACUCCGUUCCAAAAUCAGAUCUGAAAAGAGCCAAAAACACAUAAAAACUGGCACUGACACUUGGCACUGAAUUAAUAAGUUAGUCCCAAAAAAGAUAUAAAAGGUACAUAAAACAUCCAAAGAUGACAAGAUAACAACAUGAAACCAUCAAAAAUUAUAGAUACGUUUGAGACGUAUCAGGAACAAACACUUUUAUUGGUAAAUAGACCAAGGGAAGAGAAAAAUGUACUCAAGGAAUACAACCCGUACCAAGGACGCACCCUGAGAUUUUCAUGAAGGUUGCCCCAAGAGCAUGAAGGAAAAAAGCUAUGAUGGAUCAACAAACGUUUUCUUAGGAGCAUACGAAAAUCCCAGAGUUGUGAAGAAACGUAGAUGUUUUUGAGCUCGCAGAAUCAUUGGAUUUAUCCAAACUUCGUUCGUGGAUGAGAGAAAUUUUGUAAUGCUUGUGAGGAUGCCCGAGUGUUAGAAUACGAGAUUCGCUAAACCUUAUACAGAGUAAUGAUUUGGGUGCGAAAUGGAUUGAUCACCAUGGCGACUUACUCUUAUCAUUCCCUUGCUAUUCGGAAUGGUGAAUCUGAGAAACUUACCCGUAGAGAGAGACGACGUUCUUUGAAGCUUUUGUUUAAGCCUUAGAAUGGUAUGAUGAAAGCCCCAUGUACAUGGCAUUGGUUGUCACCUGUAGGAAAUUUUACGGUGAGGAUGAAGCCAAGACCCUUCUCACUACAGGAUAACCACAAAUUUUAGAUCACCAUGAGAAUCAUCGAUAGGUUAUUUAUAAUGGUCACGAGACUUCUCCGAUAAGAAGACCCAGUGACAAAAGAAGCUUAUAUCCACGAAAGACAUCAGAUUCUCAGGGGAACGUUAUGAAUAUAACGCAAGAGCAUCGCCAAAGGUGUUAGUAUGAAGAAUGUGAGGAGUCUGAUGCCAAGACCCCAAAGGAUUGUAAAUUUUUGAGGGACCAGUAACUCUCAUUCUAAGUGUGGUAGCACCCCACCAUGCACGAAAUUGGAUUUGUUAGAAGACCCCCAAACCCUAACCUUUUCUUUCUAGCCUCUUCGAAUCUCGAGGACGAGAUUCAUUUUAAGUGUGGUAGGUUUGUAACAUCCCAAAUUUUGGAAUGUUAAUAUAACUACUAGAUUAAUUGAUUGUUUGAUGGAGUGAUUGAAACUUGAGUGAAAUUCAAGACUUUUUUAAAACUUUUGAAUGAGAGGGAAUAAAAUGACUUCCCCAUUUUAUUUUGAAUUACAAUUUCAUCCAAUACAAAUCAUUGAGAGAAGAUAACAUGACUUCUUCAAAAUAAAGGACUUGGAAAAAAGGGUGGUCCGUGAAAAUAAUUUCUUUCGCAAUCUAUUUCAUAUUUGGUCCUAUUUGAAGGUUUAAAUGAAUUCAAAAUCCCCUUACCAAAAAUUCAAAAUCUUGAGAGGAGCAAUAUGACACUACAAACCAGGGGCCAUUUGAAAUUAUAUUUGAACUUAUGAAACUCACAAUACUAUUUUGAAAAAAAAUUAUAUUAUGUUUAAAAAAAUUGGAGUGGUUUUCAAAUUUAUUUUUCUCCAAAAAUAAAAUACCUGUAAAAUAGGGUAAAAUGAUUCCCUUCAAUAUAAAAAUGGAGAGAAAUUAAUUUGAAUCCAUUUUAGUAUUUUCAAAAUGUUUUCUUUGCAUUUUUCUUAAGCGAGCAACACUGUUUGAAUUUUAUGAUUUUGUGAGAAUUUUGUUUGGCCUUGAAAAAAUGUUCAUCUUGUGGGAAAAUCUUUUUCUGCAAAUUUUGGUAUAUAAUAUGUCUAUAUAAAAGUGUUAUAGAUUUUUGUUUAUUUAGUUUCCUUUCCGUUUUUUGCAUAAUAGAAAAUAAAUCAUUUUUAUUAGGAAAGUGACUUGGGCCCGUUAGCAAAUCUGAUCCGUAUCCUCUUCUUGUUCCUCACGAGCUCCUCCUUCCUUCCGUGCGCGUACAGAAGCUUCCUCACGAGGGCAAAGAAUCCCGAGUCGAUAUAUUUGCCCUUUCCUUCCCCGACCCUCCCGAGGCCGCCUAUACAUAGACGAGCCUCCCCUCUCUUCGCUUUCCCCCAAGCCCGACACUCCCCUCGCCGGAACACCGCCCCGCCACCCUCGCCGGAGCUCGCCCCCACCGAAGCUCCACGAGCUUCUGCUCCUCCCUCCUGUCGCCCCUAGCCCCUGCCGACACCACCAAGCUUCGCCGGAGCUCCCCCUCCUCCACCUGGACUCCUCUGCCGCCUCGUGCGACCACCGGAGCCACCUUCCCGUCGCCUUCUCCAACUCCGGCGACUAUCUCCGGUGAGCUUCAAAAAUCCCGUAACAGUUUUUUCCGAAAAAGAGCAAACUUAGAAAAUUCAUAUCUAUUGGUCUAUAACUCCAAAUUAGGUGAUUCUUUUUGCGUUAGAUCACAAAUCUUAUGUAGUUUCUGUAGAUAUAAAAUUUGACCCUCUUUGGAUAUUUAAAUUUUGAUUUUAAACAGAUUUGGUUUAAACCUUGUUUUGUGAAUAUUGGGAGUUUUAAAAUAGCUUUUGAGUUAAUUCUUUUUGCUACUGAUCAGUAGUGAUAUUAAUUGUCAGUGGGUUAAUUUCAGAAUUUUUAGGAUAUAUUAAAUAAGAAUUUUAAGCAAAACAGAUUAUGUUUAGUUCUUUUUAGGAUUUUUGCUACUUCUUUUGCUAUAAUUGUUUUAAAUUUAUUUUCUUUUAUACUUGUGAAAAGUUAUAUUUUUAUUUUCUGCUAGUUAACAGUAGGUUUUUAACAACAACAAAAUUUUAGUAUUAUUUGAUAGCAUGAAUUCAAUUCUAGUUCGGUAAUAACUUACAAAUUGAUUUCGUUGCUAGUUGAUUUCCUAUUUGAAAAUAAUUUCAAAAUAAUAUUUUUUUAUGAAAAAUACUUUCUGUUAUCUUAGUUAAUUUAUAUUUUACUUUCCCUUAUUUUACUAUUUUAGUGUUUUAUUUGCUGUUAAGUUUAAUUAGAACACAAACUAUUUGGUGAUUGUUAUAGUAGAAGGCUCCACAGUUUUUCUUUGAAGUUUCUUUUGGAUUCUCUUUUGAUUUGAUUUAUUGGAUAAAUUCUAUUUGAUGUUGUGAUAUUGAUUGCUAGGAUGAUUGCUAGUAUGAUUUCUUAUAUGAAAACUAUGUUUGAUUAUAUAGAGGGGGGGGGGGAGAGUGACGAAUAGUUCUAUCUAGUUUUUCCUGUGAGCGAUAUCUAUCUUCCACAACCUUACGAGGCAAGUUCACUUUGAUCAAAAUUUACCUAUGGUUUUAUUGCAUUAGAUCAACCUUCUUCGCCCAUUGCAUGCAAAUAAGUACUUGGAAAUUUUGGUUCUUGAUGUAGUAUCAUGUGCUAGGCACUCAUAAACUCUUGGUACUUGGUCGGGAUGUUAAUUUGCUAUGCUCCUAGUAGACGGGGUCUGGUUGAGUGUUUACCAUGAGUGUUGUGAGAACUUAAUAAUCAAGACCUGAAGACUUCAAGACUCUCAAGACCUCAUGAUGCAAUAUACCUCUGGGUGAAGCACGGUUUUGAUGGGCUCCCUGGGGAAACCAGUGGAUGACCCGGGAUGCAUGGGGAAGCGCCAUGACAUCUUGCAGAAAGCUUCAUCCAGGCACGAAGAGAUGGAUGGAUACUUCAAGACCCGAGGCUUACCUGCACAUAAACAAGUCAUUAUGGGCGCUGGCUUGGUCGGACAUUGUGGUGACUCUCGACGGGCAGUGCUAUGAGAUGUAGAAGAACGGUAGGAUUGGAUGGGCACCGACAGUGGCUCAGAGGAACCCUUUGGAAGACCAUGUUUUGAUCAUCCGGUUAUCAAACACCCUGAAGUGCGAGGACUCCAACGAAGGCAAUCAAAUCUUAUGGGAAACGUGUGCAAAACUCUACAGAGUACGCAAAACUAAUCGGUUAGUCGUGUCCACGAUCAUGGACAACUUCAGCCAAAGGAACUGGAGCUAUCAGGAAUUCUCAACACCAUUAACUUAUUGAUGUGGGUAAUAUUGAUAACUUGGGUAUGAGAAAUGAUUGGUGGAACCUUUCUCAUUAACAACCAACAAUGUAGUAAAUUUUGCUUAUACCUCUCUCUUGUUGUAGGAAAAAUUUGCUUUAUGCAAAACUUAAACUACAGCCCCACCUGCCAUAUAUGCAUAUAGUAUAGCUGAUAUUUUCACCCUCUCUUUUUUGACUUGUCGGGAUAUUUAAUAUGCUGACCUACACGGCUGCAACGUCUUAUGUUGGAGAUACUUUCUUCGACGAGUAAGAGUACGAUUCAGGGUUACGGUCUGCACUCAACCCGCCGUUGGUGUUUAUUAGGACUCCACUCCCUUUGAGUGUUUCCGCUGAGGUUUUGAGGUAUAUAUCAGUUUUACGUUAUUUACAUGUGAUUGCACUUUGAUAUAUACAUUGAUGUACUGUGUGUGAGAGCAUACUGAUCUAGGGAUGGCACAAAUACACAGAGGCUUGACUCUUUUUAAGUCAGGUCGCUACAUACUAGAUUAUGGGAAGGUACCUCACUCGGGAACAAGCCAGUAGCAUUUUAGUAUCCUUCAAUGUACAACAUUGUACAACAUAAAAAACUUUCGUCAAUACAAUACUUGGUUUUGUUCCUCUAAAUAUCCACUUCAGUUGGGUGGCGAUGGGGAAUGAUAGGAUAGAUGGUUCAAUCUCGUGCGUAGUUGAUGAAGGUUAACCUCUUUGAUGCACAAGAUACCAUACACUUGAAGUUGUACAUUUCAGGCGCAUUCUCAGUUAAAUCCAUGUAUUUAAACUUGAUAAACAUCGGUGCUAUCCCAAAGUCUCUUGACAUCUCGAAAGUUAAGGUGCCUUUACAAAUAAAGGUAUUUAUGUGGUUUAUGCACAAUGAAGUGAUAUUGACUAAUGACAACAUGGCAAAGCGUGGUUGAAAGGAUACUAGACAUUGUUAUUUUUGUGAUCAGAACAAAUUAAUACAACAUAUUUCCAUCAAAUGUCCACUAGCCGUGGCAUACUAUUCAUGUGUCCUUUAAUGUUUGUCCUCCCACCACUUAAUCCAUUUUAUUUAGGACGUGGUUAAACAGGGUAGAGCCUAAGAAAAUGAUGCAUAUUCAAGUAGCAAUAUAUGUAUCACACACAUAUUAUGUUAAACCACGUAGAGUGAUUUUUUUAUAGAAAAGGAGGAUGAUCCCCGGCCUCUGCAUCUGGGAGAUGCAUGUGGUCAUUUUAUUGAUUAUUCUUGACGACCUUACAAAGCAGUACAAUAAUAUGCCUGAAUCCGCCAUCUUAGCAACAUCUGCCGCUACUCCCAUCCAUAUGAUGAAGGGGUGCAAGCUGGACCAAAUACCCAAACCUCUCACCUAAGCCUAACAUCUAAAGCCGGAGACCUUGACCGAGCCACAUACCGGGUCCGAGGCACAAACCGGUCCGACGCACUCACAUGUGUCGUGACCGCCAUCUUCCACUGGUCCAUCUUCAGAUCAAAUUAAGGUACUAGCCUUGGCAGGUGCCUCCGCCAUCGACGCCACCAUGACGCCAAACGACGACCUCCACCUACGCGAGUCCAUCUCCAAGCAACAGACGGAGAUCCAUGCUAGGAUAGGGCCGCACCACCGCCGUCGCCCACCACCCACAAGCCCUACCUAGCCCCAAGGUUCCCAAAAGCGGCGCCUUCAAGAAAGGAACGACGUCGUGAGCGCCGUCGCCGCCCAACAAAGUUAAGGCUUUCGUCCGGGAGACCUAGGGGAAGGGGAAGUGAGGGGAUCAGUCCAUACCUACGCCUCCAAGGAGGGGAACAGCGCCCUCAUGCGUCGCCGUCGACGCGGUCGACCAUGGCCGACCAGGGAUUUCGCCCGGACUAGAUCCCCGCCACCAGCAACGACUCCUGUACAAAACCAGGUAGAGUGAUGAUUCAGAAGAGUGAUUAUGUCAUUUUUAAUAGAAAAAUAUAUGAUUCAGAAGAGUGAUGAUGCCAUUUUUAACCACACAUAUAUGCAUCACACACAUGGUUCAGAAUAUAUGCAUUGCUUUUUCUGUUAAAAAAUAUAUGAUUCAGAAGAAUGAUGAUGUCAUUUUUAACAGAAAAACUAUCACAACUUUUUUACAUGUUAUCUUACGGGCAUCUCUUUAUAUCCAUACGUGGUUGUUACUCAGCUAUGCGGAUCACAUGGAGCUUAUGGCUAUAGGGUGCAACGCCAAAACAUGAUAACAUGGAUACUUACAAACGGUUUGGAAAGUGAUCCAAUGAUAAGAUAAGUAUAUAGUCAUCUUAUCAUAUUUUCACACUUGUAGCAAUUUUUUUACCUUAUUAUACAGUUUGCUUGAGACCUUUGUCUUAAAUCUCGAAAAAAGCUAAGAGAAGCAUAUAUUUUUCUUUUCUUCCAAGAACGUAUCAUUCUUAUAGCAAAGAAACUGCAAGUCUCUCCAACACUCUUCUGCACCCGAGCUCAUAUGAACCCUUCCAAAGAGUACGAUAAAAAAAUCUGAUUUUUUUUGGAGACAAAUUUUAACGAAUUCUAAACAUGUGUGUUACUUCCUUCAUUUCUAAAUAUAAGUUUUUGUAGGGAUUUUACUAAAUAUAUAUAUAUAGGCAUAUUAUAGAAUAUAGGUUCACUCGGUUUCGUAUGUAGUCCGUAAUGAAAUCUCUAGAAUGAUUUAUAUUUAAGAACGAAGGGAGUACAUUUCGUGAAGAAACAACAUUCGGAAAAUGCUUUUGUAUUAAAAAAAAUGGCGCUCAAAAAGUCUCUUCCUUGGGGCAUCAAUUUUGUUUUUCUUACGGCAUCACUUUUGGAGGGUUGUUUCUUUAUGAAAUUUUGCAGGCAUGUUCAGAAUUCGUCAAAGUUUGUUUUAAAAAAAAAAUCAGAUUAUUUUUGCUAUUUUUUUCGACUUUACUAUUCACAGGGGUGCAUAUGAGCUCAGUGCAGAAACUUCAUGUCCUCUGUCCUUCGUUGCUCGGUGUUUGGUUGGGCUUCCAGCCAGCUUCCGGCUUUCGGUUUCGAAGCCAAAAGCUCCUAUUUAAGGGCUUCCGGCUACAGUUGUGGCUUUCGGCUUCGGUUGUGACAAGGCCGAAAGCCACAGCUGCAUCCGGCUUCCGGUUUCGAAGCCAAAAGCUCCUAGUUAGGGGCUUCCGGCUACAGCUGUGGCUUUCGGCUCCGGUUGUGAUAAGGCCGAAAGCCACAGAUGCAGCCCGAAGCCCUUAAAUAGGAGUUUUUGGCUUAAAAGCCGGUAGACGGAAGCUGGCUGGAAGCCCAACCCUCCGGCUCAUCCACCCGGGAACAUGACCAGCAAAAAUCCAAAACUGCGCUACAGCUCAGGGGCACCCAGCCAGCCGCAGCCCACGAGGCAGUGUAGACAUCACAUCACACGAUCACGCAAUGCAAAUGCAUGGAAUGUACCCCGGGCAUCAAAGGAUCUACCCAUUUCAGUCCGCGUCGCCAGCUUCCGCCGUGUUCCCCCGUCUCUUCUGCGCGGGAUCACAUCGUCCCCACUGCACAUGUAGCCAUCGUCUAUGCCUUUUACCCCAUACCUUUCUGCCCUGCACGGCCACAACCUCCCAGGACGCAAACCCACGAAGGAAAAAUCUGUGAGAACGAACGUACCAUCGCCGUCGGCGAGAUAGUAAUAAACAGUGCAAAACGAUCAAUCAAACCACAGUUGCUCGACGCUGAGCAGUCCAGGCCUUCAGGGUCAAACACUCCGAGAACGAAGUUUGAACUUCCUUCAGAAAGCAACGCUCAGAAGGAAGUUCGAACUUCCUUCAGGCCUUCGUACCAUUGCUUUUUGUUUAGCUUCCACUGUUUUUCCUGAUCAGGUAGCGACGUCAACAGAAAGAAAGUACGUACCAGAUAAAUAAAUAAAUGUAUUCAUGCGCAUUGCAUCACCAGUGACGAAACAAUCGAGCGACAUGGAAGGCGCCGAGGUCUUACACUUUGAUUCUUCAGACGUUUUUUCCGAAAAGUGAUUCUUCAGAGACUGUGACCAAAUAUUUGGGAAAAAGAUGUUUCAGCUUUGCAAAAGUUGAGGUCCUCGCUGGUGCACAUGUGAACAGUGGUGAUGGAACAUACUCUCAGGCCAAUUGUGAUGCCCAGAACUUUUGUGCAACCAUGGAACUCUUGGCCGCCGACAAUGGCUCAAAGCAGGGGUUGUGCGUCGGGUGUGUUGAAGCAGGUUCCUGUCCAUCUGCAAUUUGACGUAUUUGAGUGACACAAGAUUUCUGACAGUAGUCGAAGUUGUCCUAGUUCAAGGUGCACAUGUGCAUUUGUGACAAAGUUUCCACAGUGCAGUUUUCAUGGUCGUUACUAAUGAUUUUCAGUUCAUCAAAUUGUGAAAAACAAACCACAUGACAUAUGUUGUAAGAGCAACCCCUUAUACCCGUCUCAUACGUCUGGCUAGGCUGUUUGUUCACUGUCCGAUCAUGACAAAUCGAUUGAGACGGACUCCUAAACGGACCUCAUAUCCAACCCAAAUUUGGGACGUAUAUGGGGGAGCCCGGGCUCGCCCCGGCAUGCCGGCCUGACUGCCUAGCUCACCACUGAGGCCUGGCCCACCACCGACCCCACUAAAUACCCGAAUCGAGAAAACCCUAUACAUCCGGCAGUUCACUCUCCAUCGACUCCACUUCCCCUCCCCACGUUCCGAUUCGAUGGCCGACGACGGAAGCAGCUCCGACGGAUCGAACGUCGAUGUGGAGGAGGUGGCCCUCUGCAUCGCAUUACGCCGAUCGCUGCGGGACCAAGGUGUCCCCAGCGUCGGUGGAUCUGCAUCCUCCGGGACCGUCGCACGUCAACGGAGCGCCGUCCGCAGUGGAUCAGCAUCCUCCGGGACCGUCGCACGCCAACGGAGCGCCGUCGGUGGUGGAAUUGCAUCCUCCGGGCCCGUCGCACGCCGACGGAGCGCCGGAGACGUCGCAGGCCCUUCCUGCGAGGUGCGCAGCUCCGAUCCCUCCUACUCCGGGAGAUCCGCUCCAGAUCAGGUACGCCACCCAUCUCCACUAGCUUCUGCUCCGGAAGCGGUGCCCAGUCAUCGUUGGGUCCUCGUGCCCGCGUCGGGGACGGGGCGCAUGAGGACGCCGGAAUCCGAGGCGUGUGCAGCCCCUCACGAGUGACAUCGGGCUACGAAGAGGGGGGAGGCACUCGCCGCGCGCCGUUCGACCUCGAGCGCGUCGGUCGACCCCGAGGACACACUCCUCGUGGGCGUCCUUCUUCGCUCGCUGAGAAUGGCGGAGACAGAUGCGCGCCGCCUCCGCCGCAAGAAUGACGAAGCACUCCGACUGGCCAUCCAGUUAUCGGAGCGCGAGGGAGCAAAAGAGGCGGCGAUGAAGGCAAAAGCAGCCCGCCACACAAAGGAGCAGGACCGCCUGCUCCACAGGUUGUCCGGCAUGCGGUGCAACUCCGACGACGAUGACAACGACGUCUCCACCACGUCCGGCUCCGAUGACGAUGACGAUGACAACAACUCUCCAUCGCACGUCGACGUCUACACGGAGGAGGGGCACAGCGGCGUGGACGACCGGAAUUGGAAGGGGCGGCGAGCAAAUGAUGAUUUCCUCCAUCCUUCCCCGUUUUGUUCAUAUUUUAAGUAGUUUGCAGUAUGAAUUUGCCGAUGAACUCCAAUAAACUAUGAUCUUUUUGUUUGGCGAAGCAAUCCGAUCCGAUGAAAGAUGUUGAUCUCUCAUUUUACGUAGUGUUGCAUGUGUUUGUAUGGAUACGAGGGUUUGAAUAUGAGGGAUGUAGAUGUGGAAGGCAAAAAAUAAGGCGCGCCACAUCAGUGCCUGCGAACGCGCCCGGAUGCGUCUGCGGACGUUUGAGGGACCGUAUUUGAGGGGUCCGGCUAUAGAUGCUCCAAAAAAACCUAAAUUAUUCAAAAACGUUAUAAGAAACAAAUACAAAAAGUUGUACUGAUCAUAUUUUAAAUGCACGCUAUAAAAAAAACUUUUCAUUUUUUUUUGGGCCCAGGCCAAUUGAUUGAAUCAGUUCUGCUCCUUACUCUGAAGCAAACAAACUAGACCCUCAGAUAUGACGUGGAUGCUACAAAAAGUAUACCGUCGUGUACGUAUUUGAAAGAAAUUUUCCAUAGGGUAAUUUUUAUAUCAUACAUUUCAUAUAUUACUAACCUUGUAACUAUUGAAAUACGUAUUAAGGCCUAUAUAUAUGGAGUACAAAUCAGGUCCCACACCUCAUUCAAAGUAAUUUGAUGGGCGACAAGCAUUGUUCACAAUGAAGUGUGUUUCUAUUUAACUUUUUGCUAGAAAGUAGGUACCUAUAUAAUGAAACAGUUUUUAGAACAUUGAUACUCCCUCCGUUUUCCUAAAUAUAAGUCUUUCUAGAGAUUCUAUUAAAAGAUUACAUACGGAUGUAUAUAGACAUACUCUAGAGUGUAGAUUCACUCAUUUUGCUUCUUAUGUAGUCAUAUAGUAAAAAUUUUAAAGACUUAUAUUUAGGAACGGAGGGAGUAGUAAACCAUGAAAAUUUUUAUUUCUGAAGAAAUCUUGAAUGUUUGGAAAACUAAAAAGGAAAAAUAAUAGGAACUUAAAAAACACAGGAAUCAUGAUGAAUUUCCAUCACUGUUCAUUCAUUAUCAAAUUUUGCAUUAUUUAUUAACCCUUGUGUGCAAGAUCACAAUCAUAGUUUUUGCACAAACUAAGUCGAAUAGGACAAAAAGAAAAGAAGAAAUGUUGUGGCAUGAAUGUUAAGGGCUAAAUUUCUCUCGUUAUAGUACAAUAGAUACCCUUGCCAACCGUUAAAAGAUAGAAUUUCAGAAAGGUAUGACCAGAGACUUCUAGUAUCACUUGUUGUGAACCGAAUCAUUUUUUUAGUCACGAAUGCAAUGUUUUCUACUCCUUCCGUUUCUAAAUAUAAGUCUUUCUAAAGGUUUCGCUAGUGGACUACAUACGGAUUUAUAUAGACAUACUUUAUAGUGUAUAUUCAAUCAUUUUGCUUCGUAUGUAGACCCCUAGUAAAAUCGCUUAAAAGACUUAUAUUUAGAAACGAAGGGAGUAUUUUUUUUACAAUGGUAAUUUUUCCUAUACUUUGAAAGAAACUACUAGAUCAUGUACUUUCAUUAAACGAGAGAACAUACGACACUCCGCUAUUCAUGACAAAAGAUGUCUAUGUCAUGUAAGUUUUUUUUUUUAGAAAUCAUCAGCCAAGGGGAUCCCUAUAAGGACAGUUCUUUUGACGACGACUUCCAGUAAGCCAUCCCCAUUGACAACAAGCUGGGAGAGACAGCUCAUGGAAGAAACCAUUAAGAGAACUAGGCUUAAGGCAUCAUGACCCUUCUUAAAAUUCUGUAACCCUCAUAUUCGAUUCCCUCUGUCUAUGAAAAAAAGGAAAAUCUGUGAGAACGAACUUACUAUCUCCGUCGGCGAGCUCUUAUACCAAGGAAUCAAUCAAGCCAGUAGGAUGGUUACGAUGUAGACUAGUUGAGGCCUUCAUCAGGGUCAAACACUCGGAAAACGAAGUCUGAACUUCCUUGAUAAAGUGAUGGUGUGAAAUAUAGUUCAGCGCAUCGCUCUUUGUUUAAUUCCCUCUCUUUUUCCUCACGAGGUAACGAUGUCAACGUCAAAAACAAAAUACUGAUAAUGCAUGCGCACUGCAUCACCAGUGACGACAACAGAUACGAAGAGAGGACGCCAUGGUCAUAUACCCUUCAGGCCUUGACAUGUAAAUAUGGGACAUACUCUCUCAUGCCGUUGGUUAGGGCAUCUUCAAGAGCGUAUACCAGAUCGGGAACCGCAAACAUCAACGGACGUGUCCGCGAACAUGGAUACGGGGAGAGCCGGUCAUCAACCAUGCAUGUGCACAAAACAUCCACGUAAGUUCAAAUGGACAAUAAAAGAGAUGGAUGCAAUUCAUGCGAAUCACACGAUUUCCUUUUGCAAAAUCGAUGUAAUUGCAUUCAAACCGAAUGGUUGUUAAGAACUUCAACUAAAAUUAAAAUUAAACUAAACUAAACUCGCAUUGUAACCGCUCAAUAACCUGAAACUCCAUUAUAGGUGUGGCCAGGAGCAAAGUGGUUAAUUUGAGGAAAAAGGGGGUGGUGGCUCUAGGUCGAGGACUCACCCUACGUGUCCUCAUGGGUAGGAGUGACGCGAAAAAGGUGAGGAACGAGGAGGGGGUGGCGGCUCUAGGUCGAGGGGUCACCCUCGAGUCGCCGUGGGCAGGAGCGACACGGCAAAGGUCGGGAAUGAGGACGGGUGGCGGCUCUAGGUCGACAACUCACCCUCGUGUCGGCCUAGGCAUGAGCGAUGCGACAAAGAUGAGGAAUGAGGAGGGGUGGCGGCUCAAGGUCGAGGAGUCAUCCUCGUGUCGGCGUGGGCAGGAACGACACGACAAAGGUGAGGCAUGAGGAGGGGGUGGCGGCUAUAGGUCGAGGAGUCACCCUCAUCUCGCCCUGGGCAGGAGCGAUGCGGCAAAGGUGAGGAACGAGGAAGGGAUGGCGGCUCUAGGUCGAGGAGUCACCCUCCUGGCACCAUGGACAGGAGCAACGCGGCAAAGGUGAGGAUCGAGGAGGGGCGGCGUCUCUAGGUCGAGGAGUCACCCUCAUGUCACCGUGGGUAGGAGCGACGUGACAAAGGUAAGGAACGAGGAGGGGUAGCUGCUCUAUGUCAAGGAGUCACGCUCAUGUUGCUAGUGGGGCAAAAGCGACAUGACAAAGGUGAGGAACGAGGAGGGUGCGGCGGCUCUGGCUCAAGGAGUCACCACAUGUUGCCGUGGGGAGGAGCGAUGCGGCAAAGAUGAGGAACGAGGAUGGGUGACGGCUCUAGGUCGAUGAGUCACCCUCGUGUUGCUGUGGGGCAGGAGCGAUACGGCAAAGGUGAGGAACGAGGAGGGGGUGGUGGCUCUAGGUCGAGGAGUCACCCUCGUGUUGCUGUGGGGCAGGAGCGAUACGAUAAAGGUGAGGAACGAGGAGGGGAUGGCGGCUCUAGGUCGAGGAGUCACCCUCCUAGCACCAUGGACAGGAGCGACGCGACAAAGGUGAGGAACGAGUAUGGGCGACGUCUCUAAGUCGAGGAGUCACCCUCGUGUCGCCAUGGGUAGGAGCGAUGCGAGAAAGGUAAGGAACGAGGAGGUGUGGCUGCUCUAUGUCAAGGAGUCACCCUCAUGUUGCGAGUGGGGCAUGAGCGACACGACAAAGGUGAGGAACGAGGAGGGGGCGGCGGCUCUAGGUCAAGGAGUCACCACGUGUUGCCGUGGAAAGGAGUGAUGCGGCAAAGAUGAAGAACGAGGAUGGGUGGCGGCUCUAGGUCGAGGAGUCACCCUCGUGUUGUUGUGGGGCAGGAGCGAUACGGCGAAGGUGAGGAACGAGGAGAGGGUGGUGGCUCUAGGUUGAGGAGUCACCUUCGUGUUGCUGUGAGGUAGGAGCGAUAUGACAAAGGUGAAGAACGAGGAGGGGGUGGCGGUUCUAGGUCGAGGAGUCACCCUAGUGUAGCCCUGGGCAGGAAUGACGCUCAGUUUCGUUGCAAAUGUAUGAUGUUUCUGCAAACAAACUUGACUCUCAACUUUCAAAAUUCUAGAAUUUAGGUCUCUCACCUCGUUCAAGGUGAUUAGGAUGACAAGCAGUUUCCCUACACAACUGGUGCCUAUCUAACGAAACAAUAUUCAGAACAAUUUUGUAUCUGAAGAAAAAUCAGGAUUGUCUGGAAAAUUAAAAAGGGAAAAAGUUUAGGAACUUUCAUAUAUGUAUAAAGACACCGUAAAUAUGAUGAAUUCUUUUCAUGAUUCUUCAGUAAUUAUUUGACAAACUACUCUAGUUUCUCAGUUUCCACCGCACGUCAAGUUUUUGUUUUUGCUUCCGCUCAAACACAAAAAAGAAAAGAAAAACCGACUUCGUUUCAAAAACAAUGCUGAAACUUUCUGACUUCAUUCGCAUUGUACCUUCUCAAUGACCUGAAACUCCAUUAGUCCGCGAGGAGUCGUUCCUAGAGCGACAUCGUUCCGCGACAAGAUUCAGGGCCAUCUCACACACUUGAUCCCCGGGACAAUCUCUAAGAAAUUGGACGCAACAUUAUUAGGCCAGGCAAACGCUUGAGUUUUAAACUGGCAGAGCACACCAACCGAACGUGUGCACGGCAGCAGCAUGAUUGUGCUCCUCCUAAUUUAAACCAUCAAUCUAUCAUCAACUAGUGGCACAACGACACAUCCUCUAUUUAAUUACAGGUGUUUCGUUGUAAAGUAAUCGGCUUUCGCAGCCACUUAGCCCCGACGCAUCUUUUGCUCCCUGACACGAAAAAUAAACUACUUGAGAGUUGAGAUAUUUCACAAGAUGCGACAAGGCUCGGCAUCCUUGAUUACGGUUGCAGGACGAUGCUGAAAACACACACACNACACACACUUGAUCUCAACAGCAAAUGGCUAUUUCUAAUAUCUGAACGGGAAAGCGAUCGAUGAUUAGUUGACACGCAUGUGGCGCUGUAAUGGCUGCUGCUGCUUACACCGGGCGAGUGUGUGAGUGGGCUUGUGCCGGGAAAGUAAUGGCUGCUUGCAUUCGGAUCACAUGGUUAAGCUGCUUGGUGGUCCAAAUCAGGCCAUCAUUUCGGCCUUGCAGACCACCCAUGCUUGCACAUGUGGUGCUGUCAAGAGUCACCGCAUUUAUACUCCUGUGCUUAGCCAUCACUCAAGCUGACUCCAGUUAUCGCCGUAAAAAAUAUAUUUUAGAGCGUCUACGGCAGAUGGGCAAAAUCCAGUUUCAAACGUUUGUAUCCAGUCCAAAUGUAAGACGUAUAUGAGAUAGGUCGGACGCGCCUAUCAAGUCACUUCAGUCCAUCGCCGACCCCGUACCGUCCUCAUAAAAAACAUCAAUCCGUCCCAACCCUAGCUCAUUACACUCUCCUUUCUCGCAUAGUCCUUCCACUCUCCACUCUCGCUCAAUCCCUUCCUUUCCCCUCUUCGAUUUCGAACUCACCCGACGACUUCGGUGAGAUGUCGAGCUCCGGCAGCCACUCGGGCUUCGACCUUGACAUCGAGGAGGAGCUGGCACUCCGCAUUAUGCUAGAGUGGUCCAAGGUGGACAUGGGGCAACUCCGGAUCUGCCACGUCGGUCGCUCCUACAUCGGCGCAUCGCGACCGUCGGAGAUAACUCCUCCCGGCUCGCGCGCAGCUUCGCGAGGGUUGCGCAGUCCGCUCUGCCCCCAUGUUGUCCCCUCCCCCUACUAGUCAUUGCUCCACAAGGCCAGCGGCGGGUGCUAGUGCCCGCUCCAUCGGUCUGGACGCGCACAGCAAAAUCGGAAGUGUGCGCCACUCGUCGUGCGAGGCAGCGGGCAAGGGAGAGGGACACGACGAAGCAAGAAGUGCACCGUCGCUGCUGGUUGCCAACGGUGCCUGACGAGGAUGAGCGGGUCCUUGCUUGGGUCUACCGCCAAUUGCUGACGAUGAUGAAAACGGACGCUCGCCGACUACGGAGGAAGAAUGCGAAGGCGCUCUAGUUUGCCAUUGAGCAAUCAGAGCGCGAGGCGGAUUGGGUGGCCAAGCUCAUGAGGUAGUGGGAUAUGGCCAUAUGUCGGAUGAAGGGGUUCAUCAUCCUCUCCGACUCCUCGUCCGGCGAUGGCGACGACCACAACUCCACCUCCGACGAUACAUCACCUGUAGCGGAGGCCUAUAGCUGCAUCGGCGAUCAAAAGGAAAAAAAGGCACAUCCAGGAAGUGGUAAAGAUGAUCCUCGUUCAUUCCCUCUUAUCGUUUUCUGGUUGUUUUAGUUUAGAACAUGUCCGGUGAUGAACUGUGGUGAUCUUUUGGAUGAUGUAAAGUGGAUUUCGUUAUCUCUUUACCACCGAUUGCUAUGUUCAUUGUUUGAUCUACGAUUGCUAUGUUCAUUGUUUGAUCUACGUAGAUUAGUUCAUUUUACAUUUAUAGUAUAGAUAUAGUGUGUUUGAUAUAAGGUACCCGGAGGUGCGGAUGAGAAUCUAAGGUAUGAGCGCGGAUGUGUCGGACGCGUCUGCGGACGUAUAUGACGCCGGGUUUGGUAAUCAUGGUUGUAGAUGCUCUUAAUUACCAUUUGGGUCAAAUCAUAUGUACAUGCUAAGGUGAGUGCUUACAUUUAGGUUUCAGGUACUUCUUUAUUUAGAAAAGACAGAAAAUCCUCAACCGUACAUCAUGUUUGAACUUGCUCACCCGUAGAAAAUCAUGCAGGCCAUUUUUUUAGAAAAAGAGGCUGAGCCCCGGUCUCUGCAUCAAGUGAUGCAUGGAGCCAUCUUUAUUACUUAUUCAACAAUGGUCUCACAAGUACAUACAUCAAAUCACCCGAAGCCCCCUCUCACACCUACAUACCGUGAUAAUGUGGAGUGCUCUCACUCCCCGUAUCUAAAUCCGAUGUCAUCUCCGAUCCAUCCACAUAACGUAUCGGAACUCACAGCCGGUGCAGCAGACCUAAAGCGUACACCACAUGCACACGUUUUAGAAGCCGCCAUCAUCCUCGAACCGUUGAACCAUCUUCAGGAGAGAGAUCUGCGUAAUCUUUGUCAGUCCAGCCAUCCGUCGACGCCAUCACGGCGCCCAACGGCACCACCUCCCCGUGCUCGUCCAUCCAAACGCGAAGGCUCAGUAAGAUCUGUCAUGCGUAGCACCUGCCGACCAGGCAUGACAAAGCGUAGCACCUGUCGGCCAGGCAUGACCUGACAUCAUCACUGAAGCUCCGUGCAGGACGGAGAUGCUCCACCUCCUGCCACCGUCUUCCAGUACUGCUCCACAAACGAUGCUCCCUAGAGAGGAACGACACCGCAAUGCCGCCAUCGUCCGAUCUAGAAAACCAGAUCCUAGGGUUUCCCCCGGAGCAGGACGAGUGGAUCAACAGUAGUUACAUAACGAAGCCUUCAUCAAGGUAACGGCUCAGAAAGCCGCCAUCGUUCGCCGUAGGCACGGUUUUCACCGGCAACCAUGUCUCCCCAUCAUCAGACCCGUCAUCUCCGACGGAGGGGACGCUGCCACCACCGUGGUCCCAGGUCAGCCGUCGCCGUCGGCACCGCCAAGACCGGAUUAGAUCCGGCCAGCAAGCACCAGGAGAAGGCACCCGGAACCAGGCUGGCGCGGUGGAUCAGGCUGGAUUACCAGGCGACCCGGCCCCGGGAGCCGAAGCCGCCGCCACCCCGGGCGCCUCCGUCCAGGCUCUGGAACCCCGCCGCCACUAGGAGCCGCCGGUCGAAGCCACCGCCGUCCCAUGGGCCGUCGUCCAGGCCUGAGAUCCCCGCUGCCACCGGUAGCCGCCGCCCCUGGAACGAAGUUGCCGCUCCGGGAACCGCCGCCGUCAGGCGCAAGAUCCCUGCCGCCCCGGGAACCGCCGCCGUCCAGACGCAGGGUCCCCGCCGCCACCUUCAUCAAGGUCACAAGCCAAUGUCGUGGCUCCCUCUGGCAGCGGCGGAGGAGAGGGAGAGAGGGGGAAAACGCGGCGGCGGCGAUGCUAGGGUUUCCCCCGAAUCGCCGGGGAGGAGGCGACGCGGGGGACGCCUUGGAUGAAUAAGUAAUUGAAAUCAUGCAGGCCAUAUGAUAAAAUUUCUCAUGUUUACAAAAAGAUUACAAUGUUCAAAACUAUAAAUCAAACAUUUUGUCACUUUUGCGCACAAUAUAUCUGAGACUCUUUGUGUAAACUAAUCUAAUAUCUUUUAAAUCACUAUAUAGUCAAACAAUUAGUGAUUUAAAUGAUCUUAUAUUAGUUUACAUAACUUAGGUUUAAAUUACGCGUAUGCAGACGUAUAUGACGCCGGGUUUGGUAAUCAUGGUUGUAGAUGCUCUCAGUUAUCAUUUGGGUCAAAUCAUAUGUACAUGUUAAGGUGAGUGCUUACAUUUAGGUUUCAGGUACUUCUGUAUUUAGAAAAGACAGAAAAUCCUCAACUGUACAUCAUGUUUUAACUUGCUCACCCGUAGAAAAUCAUGCAAGCCAUAUGAUAAAAUUUCUCAUGUUUACAAAAAGAUUACAAUGUUCAAAACUACAAAUCAAACAUUUUGUCACUUUUGCGCAGAGUAUAUCUGAGACUCCCUAUGUAAACUAUAUAGUCAAACAGUUAGUGAUCUAAAUGAUCUUAUACUAUAAGUUUACAUAACUUUGUAUUUUUGCAUAAAUUUUGAUAUAUUUUAUAAAAUGAUGUACUUUGUAAGAUGCACAAGUACCUGAAACCUUAAUCUCAAGCACGCACCUUUGUAUUGCAAAAUCAACUUGUCUUCACAAAGCUUUCCUUCACCUUCCCUGUACACACCUUGCUUUAAUUUUUGGCCUCCAAUUAUAACCUUUCGGAGUUUUCCACCUAGACUUAUUAACCUAAUGACAGAUAUUCCUCCGUAGAGGGGAUUUUGUUGGUGGAGUUGGUCUAAUCAAGGUAGAAAUUUGCAUACCAUACUUUUGACUUCAAAGUUUGAGAUAACAUAACCAAAUCCCCAUUAACUAUUCUUUGUUCCGCACGCGUUUACUCUAAACGCCGAGCUUUAAGCACACCUCUGCCCUUGAUAAUCAUGCACAAAAAAGCUUGCAAACCCAACUUUAUGUUCACAUAACCACAUGGUUUAAGAAAGGCCAAAAGUGUGGGUGGCAACUAAUAAUUCAAGAGAAACUAGACUAUAUUGAGACCCAGAAAAGCUUAUCAUUGGGCUCAUAGCAGCCACCACCUCCACUAGCGCUGCGAGCAGUUGAGUACUGUCUGCUGGAAAUAGAAUCUGGAAAGGUGGGAUGAACCUGAUCUAUCCGUGGCCAUUUCUUAAUCCAAGACUCCUACUUAGACACAUAAUUAGGGGCCGUACUCGAGACUAAGUCGCUAGCUAGCAAAAGGACAAUUGGUGAUGUAUUGACGCCCACGCUGCUUUGCCGAUCAUAUCACGAGCGUAAUUUGCAAAGGAUUGGAAUAUCUAACGACCUUCAGAUUUCUAGACAUGACAAAUCGAACGUUUUUAAGGCAUAUUAUGUUGGCCGAGGAUGGCAAGUUUAGCUUGGCCACCAUGGCAAAUCCGUCCCAGUUUCAUUUUUUGCCGGGAAAUUGAUGUGCUUGCAAGCUAAAUUUGUUACCAUUGCUCUGACAUAAAUUGCGAUGAGAAACAUUCGAUCCGCCAUGCUAACAAAAGCAAACGUCCGAUUUUUAGCAUUUCCGUUUGGAAAAAGAUUCCGAAACAAGAAAAUCGCGCACACAUCCGUAGCAGAAACUUGGUGGAUGCAAUGAACCACGAGGAGAAGGAAAAAAACAUGGUACAAAAGAACACAUGCGCAAAGAACAAUUCCAAAUUCCAACAGUUGCUGGCGGCAGUAGGGCUAGCUUUAGCUUGGCUGCACCUGAUUGGGCCGCGGCUUGUCGUUUUGUUUCGGCUGCAGAGUUUGAUUGACACUUACUAGAAUAUUCCGAAAUUUCAGUAUAACUCUGAAGUCUAUGAACCAAGUGACUAUUUCAGGCUUUGCAACUUCGACCGCUUCAGUAAUUUGUUGCUACUUUACCAUUGGACUUCAUCAAUCCAUUGAAAAAACUGGCAAAGCAUAGGGGGGUUGCCGAUCAAAUUUGUGAUCCUAAAACUAAACAAUACUAUCCUAUCAAAUUGCUGCACGAGUCCAUUAUACAAGGCGUGUUCAAUGGUUCAGAUAGGAGGAGGUGGUACGUCAUUGUUGAUGCCUACAGUCUACAGACACCAGCAAGCAUGUUAUCAGAUGGUUUUUUUUUGCACACAAAUUUCUGGGUCCAAGGUUCUUUAUACGUUCAGAAUGUUCUGGAGGCUUGCAAGAAUAUAAUGCCUUCUGAAACCCUGAACCAGCUGCUAGUAAUUCUAUUUCCUAUGCUACUCCUUAGUUGGCAGCAGCAAAAAAGUGCCCACAAGCCCAUUUGGGAAAAUCAGCAUUGUUUGCUAGUACAAUAAGUUAGAAACAAAAGUACGUCGUUUAUAUGAUUUGUGUAAAGCACAGACUGUCGUGAUGGCCAUGAAACGAAACUGUCGGUGACGGCGAGCAGAGCAUUGUUCCAGCCAUAUCGGACAGCUGAAAAGAUAAAAGAUAAGGUCGAGCGUAUAAUUCAGAUAACUGUAUCAUAUGGCUCGACCCUAUCUUCCGAGUGGUUGAAUUGAAUACUGAUCAAUCUGAAUUGAAUUGGAUUGAAUUGAGUUGAAUACUGUUCGCACAGCCUGAGCAUAAUUGGCACAGGUUGGAAUAUAAAACUGGCACUACCACUGCUAUCAUAUGCUAGUAUAAUCGGGGUGUGAAUCUGCAUAGCACAUGUUGUUCGUUUACUUCCUCCGGAUCAAAACAGAGGCGAUACAGGAUCCAUGACAAGACGGCCAGAUCUGUCCGUGUCAUUAUUUAACCUCUCUCGGAUGGAGAAAAGGGACUUUUCCUCCGGUUUUUCCAGGCCCCAACACAUGUUUUUUCCUUCAGGUUUGUUUUUCAUGGCCUGCUCGCCUUUGCGACAAGCCGAGCGUGCAGCACCGGGAAAGAACAGAUAGCAAGACAAAAGCCCCGUACGUGCUGCACUGGUUUAACCCUCACAUUUCUCCAGAAGAUCGAUCACAUGAUGUGAUUCGGCAGCUGAGCACACGCGGCGAGUGAGUAAUCGAUUAGUUCUGAUUAACCAAAUGAGAAAAGCGGACAGACAGACUCCAUUUCAGAUAAACUCCAUGAUAGUACAGAGAAUGCAUCGGUUCCGAUCACUGAACACUGAUCUCUCAUCAUCAUCCUUCUAUACAACAAGGUAAAUGACUAACCAAAAUGGAUCGAAGAAAGCUACCCGGCGCAUGAUCAGCGUUCUUGCUGGCUGGCUACUGGUUUCCUCCACGGGGCGGGCCGGAAACUCUUUCCUGUUAGCAAUCCCUCCGAUGCAGCGAAGAUGGCGCACGCAGAUGUAGAGAGAGAGAGAAAAAGAACGAUCAAAUCAUCUCAUCAGGAGCCUAAAUCUGUGGCAAGUCUAGCGCGCCGUCAUGGUUGUUGUUGUCGUCGCUGCCNNNNNNNNNNN
Molecule: long non-coding RNA, 56715 nt
Filed under: Hordeum vulgare
Lineage: Eukaryota; Viridiplantae; Streptophyta; Magnoliopsida; Poales; Poaceae
Description: long non-coding RNA (HVUL_LNC005201)
Source: RNAcentral